AGAAAUCCUAAUAUCACAUUCCAACCUUCAAGAGCUCACUUUGCUCUCUCUUUUAGCUAAUUACCACUUUCUGGAAUUCACUUUAGUCGACGUUCUAGGAGUUCCUGACAUCUCGAAGCUUUUUUCUCAAUGGAGGAUCUGGUGGCGAAGAUGAUCUACGAGAAGCCUGUGGUGAUCUUAAUCAAGUCGCUUCUUUACGAAAUGGGGGGAACCCAACGGCCCACAACCUAGACGAGAUUCCGAGAGGCAAGGAGAUCGAGCAGGCCCUCGUGAGACGCGGGUGCAGCCCAGCGGUCCCCGCCGUGUUCAUCCGCGGCCAGCUUUUCGGUAGGGACAGUUGUGGCUAAUGCUGGUUAGGGUUUUGGGAAGUGGGUCUUAAGGUUUCUAGCUGGGUGGAUUGGCAUGAAAAAGGAUAACAAGAUGUGGGAUGUUGUGUAUGGUAUAUAUAGAAGUGGGAGUGUUAAAAGAUGUACAUAUGAAAAUAGAUUUUAAAGAGUUGUUGUGGCGAAAACUCAUGAUAGACCUCGGUGCAUGGGCCUCGUUAGUCAGUCCUCGCGUUCGGGUCCUCAAGGCCGAGCUUGAGACCCCCGUGUCCCUCCCCAAAUCUCCAGUGGUUAGGCCUAGGACACUGACUCCUGCGUUGAGACCCUAGCGGCCGAGUUUGGAUCCGGUUGCUUGGGAUUGGGACCCCGAUGGUCAGGUUCAGGUCCCUAAAGGCUGAGUCUAGGAUCUUGACAUCUGUGCUUGGAUCUCUAGCAAUCGGGUCCAAGUCUCCAAGAACCCGAACUUAGGACUUGAGGUUGUACUCCAAUUUUUUUUUUUCAAACGUCUAUUUCAUAAUUUACUUGUAAUAUUUUAGAAAAUGACCUUCAAAAUACAACGAAACAAUUAGAAAAUGAGUCAUCUUUUUCCUGAAAAUAAGUUCUUUUGCANNNNNNNNNNNNNNNNNNNNNNNNNNNNNNNNNNNNNNNNNNNNNNNNNNNNNNNNNNNNNNNNNNNNNNNNNNNNNNNNNNNNNNNNNNNNNNNNNNNNNNNNNNNNNNNNNNNNNNNNNNNNNNNNNNNNNNNNNNNNNNNNNNNNNNNNNNNNNNNNNNNNNNNNNNNNNNNNNNNNNNNNNNNNNNNNNNNNNNNNNNNNNNNNNNNNNNNNNNNNNNNNNNNNNNNNNNNNNNNNNNNNNNNNNNNNNNNNNNNNNNNNNNNNNNNNNNNNNNNNNNNNNNNNNNNNNNNNNNNNNNNNNNNNNNNNNNNNNNNNNNNNNNNNNNNNNNNNNNNNNNNNNNNNNNNNNNNNNNNNNNNNNNNNNNNNNNNNNNNNNNNNNNNNNNNNNNNNNNNNNNNNNNNNNNNNNNNNNNNNNNNNNNNNNNNNNNNNNNNNNNNNNNNNNNNNNNNNNNNNNNNNNNNNNNNNNNNNNNNNNNNNNNNNNNNNNNNNNNNNNNNNNNNNNNNNNNNNNNNNNNNNNNNNNNNNNNNAUUGAUCCCAACUCGGCAUUACCUCUAAAUCCGUCCUUUUCCUUGACGAAAGCGAGGGUUGCAACACAAUGUAUGUCCACAUUUUUUUAUCAUUAAAAAGGCUAAUUAAAGCUAUAAGAAAGAAAAAUGAUCAUAUCACGUCCUCCUCUUUUUCUCUUAAAUGGACAUUUUCAAUCUAUCUAUUGGAAGUUUGUUUAUAAAAUAAACAAAAUGUGUUCUUCCUUAUCCUACAUAGGAAAGUUAGGAGGAAAUAGGUCAAUUUAUAAAUGUGAGCCUUCUUUAGUGUGUUUAAAGAAAAGGUUUGGUGUGGGCUAAACCCUACAAUACCCGCAUGCGGGUGUGCGAAUAAUUGCACGAUUUUGGCAUACUUAGCAAUGUGUUAAACUUUUAAUAAUCCUUUUAAAACAUGCAAACUUGAAUGACAUCGUUUGCGGAAUGCAUGUGAAGUUGAAGAACGAGGAACAAAUAAAUAAGGGUAUGUUUGGCAACUUGCCAAACAAUUCUUGUUUCUUUUCUUUUGUUCCCAGGAGUAGAUUUGGAAUAGAAUUGCUUUUAAUAAAAUUUUUGUUCUCAUGAACAAAUUUCUAUUUUUUUGUUCCCGGAAGUAGAUUUGGAACAAAAUCGAGAAUAAAAAAAAUUGAUUCUUUGUUCCCUAGAACAAUUCUAGAAUCAAGUCAACCUAUUUUUUCUUUUUCCUCUUCUUUUUUCUUGUUCUUCUUCCCUCUCCCUUGUUUUUCAAGUGUUGCUACCGCUGCCAUUGACAUCCGCCACUGUCCACCGCCGCCGAUUGCCGGCGAGCUCGCCAAGCCAAGGUGAGGUCCGGCAAGGCCUGGCGAGCUCGCGAGGCUGCUCACCCAGCCAAGGCUUGGCCGAGCCUCACCCAACUGCUGGCGACGCUCCGAUGAGGUCACUGGCCCUCAUCUAGCCGGUCGCCAAUCAUCCCAAGGCCCGCAACCGGCCACCUUGAAGAAGGAGAAGAAGAAGAAGAAUGGGAGAAAGAAAGGAAAAAAAUAAAAGGAAAAAAAAAAGGAAAAAUAUAUAAAAAAAAAAUGAUUUGAAGUAGGAAUUGAAAUUUUGCUAUAUAUAAUACAUAUUUAAUUUUCUAUUUUAAUUUAUUAUUUAGUAUUUAUAUUUAUAGUUUAUACUAUAGUUUAUUAUUUACUAUUUAAUAAAAAUUUGAUCAGUUAAUAUUUUUAUUACUUAGUAUAUAUAUAUAUAUAUAAUUAAUCGAUAGAAUUUCUAUGAUUUGAUAGAAUUUUAGAAUGGAAUAGAAUUCUAAAUUCGAAUUCUUUUGAAAUUGAAAAUAUAAUAAAAUAUAAUAUGAUUUCUUUACUCUUAAGAAGACAAUUAUAUCGGUGAGUGGUUUAUGAGAAUUCAAUAUCAAAUUUACACUUAUCUAAAAAGGUAAUUGAAAAAGUAUUGGAAUAGAAAUUUUAUGCAAUUACCAAACGUAUUUCUAUUCUUUUUUCUAGUCCAGAAUCAGAAAUUUUGUGUAGUUACCAAACGCAUUCUUUUACUUAGAAAUUGUUCCUGGAAAUAGAAUAAAUAAAAAAUUAUUUCUGAUCAGAAAUUGUUCCCAGAAACAGAAUGGUUACCAAACGCAUCCUAAGCAACCACACAAGCAUACUACAAGGUGCAAGCUCAUGCGCAACUGUGAUGGUCGGAAGUUUUCUACGAAGAUGACAAGUAUGCUUAAACCCUCAGCAAUCCUAAGUCAAAAAAAGCUACUUUCAAUUUGGUAGAGACCGAUAUAGGCAUGCAAAUAAUAUGUUAUACCUAAUUUGAUUUGCUAAAGUAUUGAGUAUUCAAUCAUACGGCAAUUUGAUUUGAUUGAAAUUAUGCAAGCAUAUAAGCACCUCUCGAAAUGCAGAGACUAUCUCCUCUCGAAAUGCAGAGACUAUCUCCUCUCGACAUGCAGAGAAUUCUAAACCCUGUGUUUAGUUAUGGCUUCUACAACCUAACCCUAACUUCAAUAUCUACCAUCCUUCCUUGCAUCUUCAUCAUAUUUUCCCUUUCUUAAGGGUUUUGGAUUCGGUCUUCACCUGAUUUUUCUGAAGAAUCGUCUGCAUGUCCUUUUCCUUGGAAUUACCGAUGGCCUCUUCUCUCAUCGCUCCUGAUUGCACAUUUCCCACUUGAACAAGGUCUCUGUUUUUUAUGUGAUUCCUCAGUGUUUCUCUCUCUUCUUACUGGUACACGGUACGAUUCCUCUCCUCCGUUCUCUUCGUAAUUCUGGAAGUCUUCUUUGACUUGAAUUUGGCAUGUUGGGACACAACGACUCUGCUACUCUGGAUGUACUGUACUGGUAGUCUUCCCUCGGCUGGGUUUUGUGACGCUAUUUUUGAAAGACUUGAUGGCCUCCGAAGCAAUCCCUGAUUCUAUGCGACUAGCUGCCCUGUGCUCCCGACUGGGUAGGCUUACAACUAAGAGGAACAUCGAUGAAUGGGAUGAGGCACCACCUCCUUUAAAUUUGGAAGAAUGCAGUUUAUCUUUAGUUGGAAUGAUCCUUUCUAAUCCGUCCAUCAAUUUCCCUGCUUUCCAAACUACUAUAAAAAAAAUAUAAAAAAUAAAAAUAAAAAUAAAAACAUGGCAAGCUGAGCGAGUUGAAUUUACUCAACGCAAGGGUGGUCUAUAUGUCGUCAAGUUUCAGUCAGCUGCUGAUAACAAGCGUGUUCUGGAUGGUGGGCCUUGGCUUUUUUCAGGUCAUCUAUUUAUUCUUAAGCCAUGGCAGCCCAAUACCCCUCUACAUUGUUAUGAUUUUUCAACCUGCGCUUUUUAGAUACAAAUUUUCGGCCUACCUUUGGAAUGGACCACUGAAAGCCUGGUAACCAAGGUUGUGCAAGAUAUUGGUCGGGUCCUAGAAGUCCAUCUUGACACUAAGGAGGGACCUACUGCUAGAACAGGUUGUGUUCGGGUUGAGUUAACUCUACAAGACCCUCUUAGAACGGGUAAGCUGAUUCGUGUUGCUGGGAAAUUGCUGUGGCUGGAUUUCCGAUACGAGUGUCUUUUGCAUUUUUGCUACUCUUGCGGGAGAUUGGGUCAUUAUGCAAUGUAUUGCAAGGACAUUCCCUAUGAUGCAGCUAAAUUUGACACUAGAGAUACUAUGGUCUAUGGUCAGUGGCUUAAGGCCGAAAUUAAAGAACCUAGUCCUUUUUGGCAAUCUUUCUAUGCAUCGCAUGCUAUAUUAGACCAGCCUGAAGAAUCUGUACCUAAGACACCUCCGUCACAGCUGCUGAACGCUCCUCCUUUGCCUCCGGCCAGCCGCACAACCACAGCCAUGGUCCACCUUCCGGUUUCUCCAACAUCUUAUGUCCAUAAAGGGACAAACCAAUUGCAUUCUCAAAUGGAAUAUAUGGAUGAAAUUCCUACUCAUACAACUUUGAUACCUGCUUCAGUUAAAAUGAAGGGACCUCAGCUUCCUUCUAUGGAUACUCAGACCCCUAGGAAAAUCAAGAAUUCAAAGACGAUACCUAUUAUGAGCACUGCUAAAAAACAGACACGAUAUACGCCUUAUGACAAAAAAAAAGUUUACUGUUGUAUGACUUGGAUGAAGCAAACCUGAUGGACACACCUAUGCUUGGCAUCGAAGAAGAUCGAACUCGGGCGCUGGUAGCUGGCCCAACACAACUAUGUGACACUCCCCUACUUAUUGCUGACAAGCAAAGUAUAAGGGCUGAGGUGGCUUGCCCUCAAAAGCCACCGAUGGCAAAAUGAAAAUGCUAAGUUGGAAUUGUCAGGGUCUUGGGUCUACCCUGAUAGUUCAAGCCCUUCGGGCCCUUGUGGCUCGAGAACUACCGGAUCUCCUAUUUUUAAUGGGGACAAAGAAUGGUCCUGCAAAGUUAUCAAAAAUUCAGAAACAGCUUAAAUUUCCUCACUCCUUUUUGGUUAACCCUAUUGGUCUAGCAGGGGGUUUAGCUAUCUUUUGGCAUGCUCACCUCAAUAUCAGCAUAGUUCAUUCGGAUCCUGACUUUAUCGACCUAUUUCGCACUGACUUGGGGAACCAUAUACCUACUCGUAUCACUUGUAUCCAUACGUCGGCAGUGUUUCGGCUUUGACAGCAGUUCUGGGAGGUUCUUUGACGGAUUGCAUUAACCAACUCUUUACCGUGGCUCUGUGUAGGGGAUUUCAACGAAGUUACUUACCACUGGGAGAAAGUAGGGAAAAAGUUAGCUGAUUUUCAUCGUAUGUCCUCUUUUCGUGAGGUAUUACAUGACUGCUCCUUGAUUGAUAUGGAGAGCAAAGGCUGUGCAUUUACCUGGAUAAAUAACCGUCAAGGCGAAGACAGUAUCAAGGAGCGUUUGGACAGAUCUCUGUGCAACUUUGAGUGGAGAAUAGCUUUUCUGGAUGCUGUUGUCAGUGCUCUUCCAGCGGUGGGUUCUGAUCACAGCCCACUCCUACUGAAUACUGUAGCUUCCCAACCCAAGCGAGCCCGCCCCUUCAUUUUUGUUUUUGAAGCCUUUUGGCUACAACACCCAGACUGUAGCAAGGUUAUUUCCAAUGUUUUGCAGCAACCAACCAAUCACGCCAUGAUUUACCAUACCUCUUAAAAAAGGUCAGUCUCGCACUUUCCUCGUGGAGCCGCCAGACCUUCUCAAAUGCUAACAAGAGAAUCUGCGAACUACAAUAUAAACUUCAACAUAUCACAAACCAACUGGAUAUUCCCUAUGACAGACACGAAGUAACAACAAUUAAAUUAGAAAUUCAGCAGCUUUGGCAACAAGAAGAGCAGUUCUGGGCUAUGCGUUCGCGAAUCAAAUUGGUUGAAAUGGGGCGACAAAAAUACUAAGUUCUUCCACGCCACAACCAUCCAAAGAAGGCAGCAUAAUCGUAUUACAAUGUUACUCAAUGAGGCACACGGCUAGGUUAGAGAUGAAACUAUAUUAAAGGACAAGACUCAACUUUAUUUCUCAAACCUAUAUCAAUCAGUUGGUUUUCGUGAUUAUGGUCCAAUCCUUAACCAAUGCCCCUGCUUAGUCACCCCUGAAAUGAAUAUGGCUCUCACCGCCACGGUUACUAAGGCCGAAGUCUGUGCAGCCACCUUUCAGCUAGGACGGAACAAGGCCCCGGGCCCGGAUGGCCUCAAUGGACUGUUUUAUCAAUCCAACUGGGAUACUCUUGAGGAUGUAGUGUUCAAUUCAGUCCAGCAGUUUUUCCUUUCCAGUAAAAUGCCCUUGGCUCUCAACUAGACUGUUGUUACCUUAGUACCAAAGAUCUCCCUCCCACGGAGUCUCGACCACUACCGCCCUAUUAGUUAUGCAAUUUCGCCUAUAAGAUCAUUUCCAGAGUCCUAGCUAAUUGGUUGAAACCCCUAUUGCCACAACUGAUUUCACCUUAACAAUUGGCAUUUGUUAGUGGGCAUCAAAUUCAGGACAAUAUUUUGGUGGUCUAGGAGAUUAUCCAUCAGAUAAAAGCAAGAAAACGUCGGCGUCACUUCCCGGCAAUCAUUCGUAUGGAUAUGCAAAAAGCUUUUGACAAAGUAGAAUGGGACUUCUUGAUGGCCUACCUACAAAAGAUUGGCUUCCAUCCCCAAUGGGGUUAGUGGAUUUUCCAAUGCAUAUCAACUGUAUCUAUCAGUAUCAAGUUUAAUGGUCAACAGUUGGAAUUAUUUUCGCCCUUCUAGAGGUAUUCGUCAAGGGGAUCCUUUAUCCCCUUAUCUUUUCAUCCUAUUGACGAAUCUAUUAUCCACUCUCAUUCAUUGAGCCAUCGACAUGGGAUAGCUCAAAGGUGUUAAACUUAAUUGGUUUAGUCCUACUCUCUCUCAUUUGUUAUUUGCUGACGAUGCUAUAUUCUUUGUAAAUGGCACCACUGCUGACUGCCAUACCCUAGCAAGUGUUCUGUCUCAAUAUUGUUUAGCUUCAGGUCAGUCCAUCAAUCGAAACAAGUCCGGUAUCUUCCUCAGUAAGGACUGCCCAAGCUAUCUUAAAGCUAACCUGGCUAGUGAGCUCAGAAUACAUGUGCUGGAACGAAUGGGUAGAUAUUUAGGCAUCCCCUUUGAUUGGGGCCGAUCAAAAAGAGAGCUCUUUUCUUGGAUCUUGGGUAAGGUAAACUCUAAAAUGGAGGGCUGGAAGGAGAAUCUAAUCUCAAAGGGUGGCAAGGAAGUCCUUAUUAAAACCGUUGUGCAGACCAUUCCCUGGUAUGCAAUGUCUAUUUUUAAAAUCCCAAUAUCCAUCUGUAAAUCUAUUGAAAAAUAGAUUGCUAGAUUCUGGUAGCAGAAUGAUUGUUGAAAAACGGGGAUACAUUGGAAACAAUGGGCUGUGUUGAAAGAGCCUAAGGUGAAGGGAGGACUAGGCUUUCGAGAUUUGGCGGCUUUCAACAAAGCCAUGUUGGGUAAACAAGCAUGGCGUCUCAUCCAACAGUUGUCCUCACUGUGGAGCCAACUACUUAAGGCAAUCUAUUUUCCUACACAAGACUUUCGCUAUGCUCGGAAAGGAAUUCGCCCUUCAUGGGGCUGGCAAAGCUUACUGUUAGGAAGGGAGGUUAUACUUCCUAAUCUACAGUGGUCGGUUCGCGACGGCACAAAUAUCAACAUCAGGCAGGAUCGGUGGCUUCCUAGGGGUAUUCUUGGUGGACCUGUACAGCGUGAUCAACCAACAAUGGUGGCUGAUCUCUUAGUUCAGAAUUCGAAUAAUUGGGAUAUCACGACUCUAAACACCUAUUAUGAUGCACAAACAGUACAUGACAUACUCAGCAUUCCAAUGCGACGAAACCUCACCACUGAUAAACUAAUCUGGACAGCUACAACAAAUGGCCAGUAUACAGUUCACCGUGGCUAUCAUUCUAUCAGAGGAACAGAAAGAGAGUCUCUGACCUUACAUGCCUCAUCGUCAUAUCAGUCGCCUCCUCAACUUUGGAAGCGCAUCUGGAAGCUUCAUCUCCCACCGAAGCUCAGGGUUUUCUCCUGGAAUGUCUGCCAUAACGCCUUGCCCACAAAAGACAACCUUUAUCGACGUCGUAUCAGCCCCGAUCCCUUUUGCCCUCUUUGUCACACCCAUCAGCCGGAGACGAUUGAGCACCUCUUCUUGUUCUGCCCCUAGACAUCUGGAAUUUGGUCACACCCGUCAAUAGGUCUUUCCUUUGCAGACACAAAAAUCCGCCACACGGAUGAAUGGUUUGCUAAUCUAAUUUUUGAUAAACAGCUCGUACCUGCCCUGGAGUUUAUUAUAGCCGUCUGUUGGCAAAUCUGGAAAGCCAGAAAUAGCGCGAUCUUCUCCAACCAUCACCUGGAUCCAUCCUUUGUUGUACUUGCUGCCACAGCCCAGGUUUGAUCUACUCAACUCUCCCAUCCGUCUUUGCUGCGACAAAGUCAUCAGGGCGAAACUUUGGAUUGUUUCUGGCGAUCUCCUCCUCUGGGGUCCCUCCGAAUUAACAUAGAUGGGGCUUUCAUCUCCGGCGAUAUCACCGGAUCUAUUGCCGUCAUUUGUCGAGACCAUUCUGGGCAUUUGAAGGAUGGAUUUACCAGAUCUAUGCCGGCAGUGUCGGCUCUGCAGACAGAAACUCAGGCGCUUAUUUGUGCUCUCCGGUACGUGCUUCAACUCCCUUCAAUGUCUACCCCUCUGGAGAUUGAAUUGGACUGCUUUGUCUUGGUUGAAGCCCUCAACGACCGGCAAGAGCCUCCAUGGGAGAUCCGCCCCCUUCUCCACGAAGUCGCUCCCCUUUGUAGCGCUAUCCCUCUUGUUGACACCUAAAUUUUGGUGACCCUUUUAAUUAAAAAAUUAGGAAUUAAUUUUAACCCUUAAAAAUAUUAGUUAAUUAAUUAAUUGCAUAGCAUUUAGUUUUAGGUGCAUUUAUUUUAAUUUGCAUUUACAUUGGGCCGGUGACAAAUGGGUUCAAAUUGAUGGUUCAGAAUAUUAAUUUGGUGAAUUGGACUAAGCCCACGAAGGGAGUAAAUCGGCUCAAGCUCGUAUCCUCGGAAAGAUUUUACGGAUUGAUUUGUGCGAGAUUUCAAAUUUUAGAAGAAUCCUCUUGCAAUCCUAAAUCGUAUCAAAAGCAAAUAUUGCAUUUGGAAAAAGGAAUUUUCGUUGAUACGGAUUUUGAAAAAUUAAAACCCUAAUCGUGGCCUAUAAAUAGAUUAAACGCGUAGGGUUUGAGGAGGAGGCCACAUACACGUUGAAUAUACGGCCAUAUUGUGGGGUCUUUUUUCUCUCGAUUCGAAGGUUAAAAAUUCAGGCCAUAAGAGAAAAUUUUCCAUCGUUUCUUUAGGGUUUGUCGAGAAAAAGUCAAGGUUUUAAGCUUUUGUUGGAAAAAGAAAAAGGGCGGCGGCAGAAGAGAAAGAGUUGCAGAGAGAAAAGAGAUGUGAGGGGACAGGUGAGUGCGAAAGAAAAAAGAAUAAAAAGAAGAAAAGCAGGGUGCUGUUCAUCUUCUUCUUCCGACAGCCGGCCACCGCUCCCUCCACCCGAGAUCCAGCCACGACGCCGCGCCGCCGCACCCCUACGCCAUCGCCACCCCGCCGCCCACGCCGCGUCUCCGCCUCUACGCGACAUCACCGGUAUCCCGAUCUGCCCACUCGAGAGCCCCGACGACCACGGAUCCGAGCCGGUCGUCGCUCCGCCGCCGAGCGAGCCCUCACACCGGCCCGCAUCUCCUCUGUUGCUCGUGCCGCGCCACCACCAGGGUUCCCCUCGUCCCCGAGCAGCUACGCUGACCGCCACUUGACUCCUCGCGACGAAUCGACACCUGCCCCAUCAACGGCAACUCAAUCUAACGAACUCUAGACGUCCUGAACGAGAAUCAAAGCCGUCCUCGCCUCAAGCGCGCAUCUUGACUACCCCUGCGGAAGUUCCUGCAGAUCCAUGGCGCUGCACCAGUGAUUCAGUAAUCCUGUCCACCUCAGCCCCUGCCUUAACAGAUUAGUAGCUCCAGAGAACACCGGCAGUCGCUUUGGCGUGUCGCAAUCUGCUGGUGAGUUGCCCGGAGGAUUCCAGUUUGCUGCAACGCUUCUUGCAACAAGUUCCCGGCAACUCUGGUGAACAUCCAGCGAACACCGUCAUCACCGAGCUUCAACACCAAGAAUCUGCCGUCUCCCAGCCUACACCGCACGAUGAUCCGCCGUUACCGUUGCUGAUCUUUCACCUUGUUGUGGAGCUGUUUCUCUGUUUCGCAGGUUAUCAAUCAUUAACAAACCACUCCGAGGCUCCCACUGUCGCUGCCAUGCCUCAAUAUCAUGGGCCGAGCACUGCCCUCGCCGUAAAUCCCUAAGCCGUGACCGAGUUGUUAUCCCAUGGCGUCCCCAUCCAGACGUGAAGCUGCUGCUCACCUUAGCUCAAUGCCAAACCCAUAUCCUCCCGGUGGCAGUAGACGUCUCGUCCCUACCGUUUGCCGCCUCGGCCUGCCCCAGCGUUGAAGUUCCAGCGAACGCACGGAUUAGCUCUUGCAGUUUUCGGGCACGAAGCUUAUCAUCCCAACACCACGAGCAACCCCGACGACGCUCAAUUCUGACGGCCACGUGUCUUAGCCUUUCAAUGCCGCGAGUAGUCCAACAACGCCGCUGCUGCCCCGAGCGCCAACACUGACCCACGAUCGUCAAUCCGCGUCAACAACGAAGCCAGCUGCUAUUAACACCCAACUUGCCUUCAUCGUGGGUUGCAACGUGAUUCUUCAAUCAUUUCUUUUAAAUGUUUUUUUCAUGCAGGUUGAGUUUUCACGUGGGGAUAACAUAAUUCAUAUAGUUGAGUAGUGAAGAGAAGAGGCACGUGGAACACCACCUGGUGGGAUACGCUGUUUUUGGUUGAGGCCAAACGAAAGUCAUCCUUGACCAUUGACUUCAGCUCGCGUCCUCUGCCAACGUCCGCGAAAUCUCUAUCCGCAAGCUCCAUCUCCGCGAGCUCGCUGACACCGUGAGCCGUGUAAUCGCCGCCGUUCGUGAGUCCUUUGCCGCUGACAAUUUAUUUUAUUUUUAUUAUCGUUUUAUUUUUCUUUUAGUGGAAUUAUUCUUUAAUGUUUGAUUGAGAUUCCGACAUGAAAUUGCCUCUGAAAUUUGAGAUUGACAGUCCGAUUUUCGCGCCCGAAAUCCGACUCGCAAUCACAAUCGUUUGAAAAAUUGCCAAUCCGAUCUCACGCUCGAAAUUCGAUUCGUGAUUUAUUUAAAAUUAUCCAACCCAAUCUCAUGCGUGAGAUAUGGUUUGCCAAUUUGCAGAUAUCAAUCCUAUCUUAUUUGAUUUGCCAUCGUGUUAGUUGAGUCAAUUUUAAUUUUGUAAAAGGAAAUAUCCAAAAAAAUAUUUGAAUUAGCAUUAGGUUGGUUUUAGAAUAUCUCUUGUUAUAUUGCAUAUUUAGAAUAGGGAUUUUAUUUCAAAUUUAAAAAAAAAAAUGCAUUCAUUUAGGAUGUUAGUUUUAAAUUUGAAUUGCACGUUUAAUUAUUUGGCAAUUUUUAAUUUCGAAUUUCAUAAUAAUGAAAAAAGAAAAAAAAAUAGAAUUAGGGCAUUCUUUACACGUCAUUGCAUAGUAGAAUAAAUUGCAUGCUUAUUUAGAAUAGAAAUAUCGUGCGUACGUCAUAUAAUGCACGUCAUUUAGUGAUUUUUGUUAGGAUCAUUUAAUUAGAAAUUGCCCGUCAUUAAGAUUAGGUCAUUUUGGUUAAUUUAGAUUGCAUAUUUAAUUAUCGCAUUUUUUACUCAUGUCAUAUAGCUAAGUCAUGUUGCCAUGUCAUAUCAUUUCAUGUUAAAUUAGUGGCAUGCAUUGCAUAAAGCAUGAUUCUCAUUAGUUAAGUAAAAACAAAACAAAAAUUGCGUGUUAAUUAGAAACCAUAUCUAAGGUUGUUGAUGUGGAUUUUAAUUUAACAUUGCAGAUGCUUUCGUUGCUAUGAGGUAAGUUUUUGCAAUUUAUUUAAUUGUUUUCUUGAGUGUUAAAUUGGUGGUUUGCGUACCUGCAUGAUCACCUCACAUGUUAGGAAAAUAGAUUUAAAAUCAAUUCAAAUUGCCUGCAAAAAACAUUUUUCAAAAUAAAAAGAAAGGUACCGAAAGGGCGUUAGAGAAUUCUAGCGUAACCAAGUGCCCGUACCCAUAGUCUCUGGUUCGUAGGAGUAAAAUAAUUCUCCUAUUAUUUUACUUGGGUUUCUAAUCGACCCACCAAAAAUAGAUUAGUAGCGACUCCUGAUUGAAAAUUAAUUGCAUGUUAAGAACUUGAACCUAAGUUGCGAAUUGGUAUGGGCUUGGGAGAGCCCGAGUUAAGUCUAGGCUUAAUAAUCCAUUAGCCAAAUCCUAGGUGGUUCACACUCGAAAAAUUGGUCGCGACAGCUCUUUUGCAAAUUAGGUUUUGUGCUAGGGUUGCCAAUUCAAUUGCUGAUUGGGCAGCACGAGCCCACAACAAGGGCUGCCUCUUCCCUUCUUGGGCCGAAUCCCCCCCCCCCUCUCCCCUUCUCGACUUGCUGUUAUCAGACAUUAUAGCUGCUAACUGUAUUUCCUAUCUUUAUAAUUAUAUUAUCCUUCUAUCAUAUGGUAGAAUUGACUACACCACCUGUGCUUUUUGUAAUGAAGUCCCGGAUUCCACUGACCACUUAUUUUUUGAUUGCCAUCUAACGGCUUCUGUCGCUUAUUUUUGGGCCACUCGCUGCAAUCUUCCUUGGCGUCCUAGGCCUUGGAAGGAUAACCUCCUCUGGGCUAUACGGUUCCUCAAAGGCAAAGAUUUUUUUCACAUUAUAGCACGGCAUUCUUUUGCUGCUAUGUGCUAUAUCAUUUGGAAGAAAAGGAAUGCCAUUAUCUUUCGUGGAGAGUCGGUCGUCCUUACUUUAAUCAAAAAUCACCUUAUCAAAAGUGUGAAGGACAAAGCUGCAAGUUUUUCUAAUAUCCCUGAUAUCUCGAGGAAUAGACGUCUCCAGCAGAGUUGGGGCUUUCACCCAGCUAUCUUUAGCGAUCGACAGGAACAAGCUUAGAUCGGUGUCCUUCAACACCCUGCCUCUUCGGUAUCCGGGCAUUGGCUUCUCUUCUGGCAGCGGAGGGUCUUUGCUAUCUUAGCAACCACACAAACAUACUACAAGAUGCAAGCUCUUGCGCAACUGUGAUGGCCGGAAGUUUUCUACGAAGAAGACAAGCAUGCUUCCACUCUCCCUACAUUGUAUCGAGAGUGCAAGAUUAGGAGCCGGUCGAGUUUUUUGUAUAUUUGUUCUAAGCUAUAAUACCAUUUACCUUACCAAAAAAAAAAAAAAAAGUCAUACGGUAAUUCUUCGUGUUGGGUCCCACCUUUUUUUUUAAUACUAAUCAUUGAAAGCAUGACAUGCCAUUUAAUAAAACCAAAAUCCCAAACUUCUUAGUGACACUAGCAUCUUUGAGAAGUCGUUCGUUAAGUUUUCAAACCGCUCUUCCACAAUCAAUUCAGAAUCAAAUCAAUGGUAGACAAAAGGAAUUACACGUGGCUCAAUCGAAUCUCGAUAUACUAAUUGUGUGAAACAUGUUUACAUUGUCUUUUGGAGGAAGUUCAGUCCCAUCAAUAUCUUAUUUCUAAUUUCUUCAUCUAAAUUGUAACUUCUUUAUUUUUAAGGUUAAGUGCGUUCGAAAUUUUAAAACUUAUGAUGAAAGUAUUAAAUACUAAAAUUUUUAAGUCCUAAACUUGUCAAGAAAUGCGACUAAGUCUUAAAACUUUCAAAAGUGCAUUUAGACCCUAAAAAUUAUCAAAUUUAUGCAAAUAAGUCCUUCCAUUGAUUGUAGUUUUGAAAACCGUAGGACUCGAUUACACUUUCAUGAUAAGUUUUAGAAAUUGAUUGCAUUUUUGAAAAUUAUAGGAUUCGAUUGCAAUUUUAUUAUAAGUCUUAAGAUUUGAUUGUACUUUUAAUAGUUUUAGGACCCAAUUGUACUUUCAUAACAAACCUUAGGACUUAUAAUACAUUAAUCCCUAGUUCAAAUGAGAGAAUGCCUUGAAUUUCAUAAGAGGUGAAGGAGAUCUAGAGAAAGGGAAAGCAACAAGAAAAAGUAGGCGUGAGUGUUGUGAGGCGAAAAGGAAAGACUAAAAGAGAAGGGGAGGUGUGCAUAAGACAUUUAAAAAAUAAAUAAAUAAAUAAAUAAAUAAAUAAAAUUGUUUGGGUGGUUCAAUUCUUCCCUUGGAAUCGAGAACCAGGCUGCUUAGACACCGGUUUCAUUUUUAGAAACUGGGAACCUAACCAGCACUUCGAGGAACCGAACCCAACUAGCCAGCUUGGUCUAAUCCAAACGGUUUCUGAUUUGGUCGGUAUGUCUUACUCAUCCCUACUUUUAAAGAAUAUUUUUAUCUUUCUAGAUAUUUAUAAGUUAUUUUUACUAUAGGCCAUGAUAUCAUAUCUAUAAAUCUGUUUUGUUUAAAUUGCUCUAAACUCUUAAUAUUAAGUUAACAGUAUAGUUGGUAUAAUCUAAUAAUAUGCCGAUAAGUAGGUUGUCUUUAUGCUCGAAUGUGUCUGCGCAUCAUCUUUUAUCAGAAAAUUUAUCGAAUGAUUCGCACAGAGCGUGGAGCAACGUCUAGUUAAAUAUAUACCCGAAACCGGAGAAACUCUCCUUUAUGCACCAUGAAAAUGUAGACCUAAAUUUGACUAUUAAAUAUCUACAAUUAAAAAAAAAAAGGGGGGGGGAGGCAUCUACAAUGGAGGCAAUUCAUUAACUUUACAUCUCUCGGACAUUGAAUCUGCAUGAGAUAACAUCCACCCAAUGAACAUUUAGUGGGGAUGAGGGAUGAAGAAGUAAAUAUUCUUUCCAAUCAUGCACGUGUUUAUCAAUGAGAGGAAUUGACAAGCGUUCGACAGAUGGGGUGGGGGGGAUGUCGACAGAACGAAUAUUCACAGAUCAAAGAGGCUUUUCACCUUAAAUUUUUAUUGUGUUUUGAGGAACAAUUCGACAGUACAAAAGGCACGGGUGAGAACGAGAGUGAAUUAUCCUCAACAUCAUCCCAAAGUCACCGCCCAUUCUCUUAUCAUUGUUUGGCCUCUGAUAUUUUGUUUGUGAUGGCUCUGAAAUGUCAUCUUUUUAGGGUUUCUGAGAGAGAGAGGUUAUCUAUCUGCUGGCAUCUGUAAAAGUGGUAGUCUCUGUCUGAGAUAAAGAUCUUUGUUUUCUCUUUCGUCUCUCUGGAGAGGGAAUGUCAAGGAAAGAGAGGAGAACCAACUUGUGAUUUUGAGAUCUCUCUCUCUCUCUUUCAUGCUGUGAUGCCAGGAUCCGACCUCGCAUUCUUCUUUAUCUUUUUGCUGUCUGCUGUGCUGCUGGCUGAUGAUAAGAAAGAUCACAUUCUGUUCUGCAACUCGCGCCUGCUUAUGUCUCUAGGAACUUAUAGGAUUCUCCGGUGACAAGAUCUCCCGUCGUAAUUUUAUCAUAAUCACGUGCAUUUUAUUGUAUUUUCUCUAUAAAGAAUUGUAACAUACAAAAAUUUAAAGGAUUGAUCAUCGCCAAGUCAGAUUUACUCUCAUUUUCAUUCGAUGCCAAAGGAUUUUUAGAAACAUAAUGUUUACCAUUCCCUCCCCCCCCCCCCCCCCUUCCUUUUUCGUCACGUUUUAACAAUCAACCAAUGACACUAAUCCCCAUUUACUAAUCCAGCUUCGAAAGCAUCCACCAACAACCUAAACAUAUUAAUCCUUUUAACAUAUAGAAGCUUCUACAAUCCGUUGAGAAACCAUCUUUCAAGAGAUUAAUAGCCGUUGGACAAAUAAGAUUCUCAUUGAUUACAAAUUCUUUUAAGCUUUUGUGUCUCAUGACCUUUUGUAAUUUGAAUAAGAGUUACGAGAAAAUGCAUCAUGUUUUCACAAUGAGUUAUGAGCUAGGAAUCAGUCUUCGAUGGAUCAUGGAAGCCCCCUCGAUCAUGACAUCUAAAAUUGUUACUACUUUGCUAUGGAGAGUUUGUGGACCAUUUAUUGACUUCAGCGGGUCAUGACUCAAUUGGUAUUGCAAUCCUUCAAAAGGAAGAUAAUAUUAGCGAAGCUAAAUGUUUCAAAUUAUUUGUGAAAGCAAUCUGAUUAGAAAAGACAAUCUUCUUUAUUAAUUUAUGUAUUUUGCUAUAAUUGGAGAGAAUAUUGAAAGACGAAGCAUACAAUUUCCAUCUAUUCUUUAUGAAUUCUACAUAUCACUAUAUUAUAGACCCAAGUAAGUAUUUAAAAGGUUCAAGAUAGAAGAAAUAGAGGGAAGAACCCCCGAGGGGUAGGAUUCCCCAAUGUCACCUGCAAUAUUUCCUCCUAGGUAGGAUAGAAAAAUAUUUACCCAUAAAUAGAGAGGGCCUUUGGUGGUGAAGGUAAACACCAUGUCGUGUCUCCGGGUAUGCUACCGUCGGGUAGCAUGGUAUAGUAGUCUUAUCAUGCUUGGGGUGAAGAAGUGGAGCUCACAAGGGCUCCUGCUAGGUUGGUGUGUGCUCACACAAGUCUUGUUACCGACUGCCAACCUAGUACCCCUUGGUUUCAAGACUUGUGCAAAAAUCUUUAUGAAUUGUGUCCAUCGAUAUAAGACUCAAUAUUCCUAUUUCCCAAAUGAAAGUAGGAUGAUAAGGGCUAUCACUACAAGAUCUUCAAGUACGAAAUUUUUUCUUCUUAUUUAGAAUGAACUUAAACAAUAGGAUAAGAACUCGAGAUAAGCGCCAAUGCAUUAUGAAUGUGAUGAAUCCAACUGUCUUCAUUUGAUAAGAAUCAAUCCAAGCGUUUUCAAGAUUCCACCGCACAUUGAAAGAAGGUAGAUCUUGAUCCGUCAGAUCAAAAUGUUCGUCCUCAGCCAAAGUAGACAUAUAAACCCAUGAAACUAAAGCAUCUAGGAAAGACUUUAGGUCCUUUUUAUUUCAUGGCUACUGUGCCCUAAGAUUUUAGGGUGGAGUGGCCUUUCUGCAGGGCGUACAUACGUGGCAGCUUGAAAGACUCAAACAAAUUGACAUUAAAAAAAAAUGCAAGAUUCGAAAUGGUGACGAUGAAAAGUCGAAUUGUGAAAGUGAAGUGACCUUUCGGAUUUGGAUCGUUGUGCCUUUCGAUUUUGCAGGGCCAAAAAAGCAGUCUAGAACAUGGGGUACGCGCGAGAAUAAUAUCAAUUGAAAAAAGGUGUAUAAAAGUUUGGAUAAAUGAUUGUGUAAAUAGUUCUUACAGGAUCAAAUUUGGUCGAUAUUCCUAAUAUAUUCGGAUUUGUGGAAUCUUUACUUGGCCAGUUGAUGAUAAUUUUUAGUUUAACAGACUUAUCUGAUAUAACACUAUGGUUAAUUAUUCCUAGUGCCUUACAUUCUCCUAGUCAUACAAAUCAAAGGGGAAUUCCAAUCUAGAAUUUUUCGUUAGUGAUAAAGUUUGGGAGAACUUUGUAUGCUAAGGACAUAGUAUCAACAUCUAAUUAGUCUAUUUUGAGAUGAUCAGGCACUGUUUAUCCAAGAAAAAGUUUUGUGAUACCCUUGACUAGGUCUAAGUUCGUUGAAUUAAUUUUCAACUGGACUUGGUAGCAUGAGUGUAUGAGGACUCCUAAGUGAAGUUCGAGAAUAUAUAAGGACAUAAUGAAUUUGAGUAUGUAAUCAAUUUCUCCAGAAGUUUAAUUUAUUAGAGAAAUAUUAUAUAUUUUAUAUUUGUAAAAACGUCUCACGUAAAGAUUCAUGGGAUGGUGAAGGCUUUAAACCCAAAGAACUAGAUAGUUGUGAGGUAUGAUAGUGAAUAACUUAAGUACAUAUGAGUCGAAAAUAGUCAAUACUUAUGACAGAUAAAGAAAAUCCGAAGAUGAAUAAUGAUAAAGCAUGAGGAAUUAAACCUCAGAUCUCUUGGCUCUUGUUGAAAACUAUAUAACCUUUUAGCAUUGUCUGCUUGAAAAAUCAUAUGUAGAAGAGAUGACAAAAAGAAGAGUUGGCUGAAUGAGAAAUGAAUAAUCGUAUACAAGUCUUUCUAGCUACAAGUAGAUUCACACCACAUUCAAAUGAGCGUUGGGCCAAAUGACCCUAACAUAUUAAGCUGAAAGAUAGAGGCGUGAUUAGUUGUUCAUGCUCUUUUGGCCUAGAAAUAGGCCUUGUAAAAGCUUUGCAUCAACCUUAAUUUAAACUGUUCCUUGACUUCAAAAAGUGGUUAGAUAGACUAGUAAAGCCAACAUGGUUCCCAAAGUUUGACCAUGAUCUUAUGCGAGUUCAAAUCCAAGGCAGUUAACAAUCACAUGAUGAGUUAUACCUCUUUAGUUAAGGCAAAGUCACACAUUUCGACUUUCCAAAGUCACUAACGCUGUAGGUAGAAUCUUGUUCUUUAUUAGGACAUAAAGGCUUGGGAAAAAGAUAUAGGGUAGAGUCUGAUUUGAUCUGGUUGGUGUUCUUGUCCUAAAGGAGUACUUGUUUUUACCACAUUGUUCUUCUUUUCAUCUUAUGUGUACCUUGCGCAUAAUCACCAGGUCUUUCUCAAUCCUCUUUCUCGAACACAGAAUGAGAAUCUUCAGAGAGAGAGAGAGAGAGAGAGAGAGGGGGGGGGGGUCCCCAAGUGGAUAAACCAUAGUUUCAUUCUCCAACUCAGCAGAUGCCUCCAAGAUAUAUACACGCAGAAAAUUCCCGUGGUUGAAAAGAACUUGUUUCAACAAUGAGCCAAAUGGGGGCAAAAAAAAGGAACUUAAAUGAUGGAUAAAGUACAUUUUGGUAUCCACGAAUUGAUUAGUAAUCUUUCCAAAUUAUAAACCGUAGCUAGUAUUGAGAAGAAAAUGAGGGAGAUGGGUUUAAUUGCUAAAGGAGGGAAGAAAUACUCGGCCUAAAAAUAAAAUUGCACGUAAAAUGGAGGAUGCUCAUACGAAUAUAAGAUGUUAAGAAAAUAAGAAAAUAAAGGAUGCUCAUACGAAUAUAAGAUGUUACGAAAAUAAGAAAAUAAAGGAUAUAGUAGAUAUAACGCGAAGCCGUACAAAGAACAUGUUGCCUCUGUUACGUAUGGAAGGAAUCUUAUUCAUUUGUAUGCAGCUUCUGUUCAGUGCAAGUUCAAAAGUCCUUGUCCACGUUGCAAUGAUCAAGAGUUCCCUGAGGAUCCUUGUGAAAAUAGCCAAAUAUCUAAAGGAAAAUUCUCUCUCUCACACACGGGCACGCAAGCCCAGAACCCUCCUUGAAACAUCUAUAUAAGCACGCCCCUCAUGAAGCCUCAAGCAAUCCACAUAACACAAGAAACUCUUAUAUCACAUUCCAAACUUCAAGAGAUCACUUUACUCUCUCUUCUAGCUUAUUACCACUCUCUGGAAUUUGCUUUUGUCGACAUUCUCGGAGCUUCCGACAUCUCGAAUCUUUUUUCUCAAUGGAAGAUCUGGUGGCCAAGAUGAGCUCGGAGAAGCCGGUAGUGAUCUUUAGCAAGAGCUCAUGUUGCAUGUGCCACACCAUCAAGACGCUUCUUUGCGACUUUGGGGCGAACCCUACAGUCCACGAGCUAGAUGAGAUUCCGAGAGGCAAGGAGAUCGAGCAAGCCCUUGUGAGACGCGGGUGCAACCCGGCAGUCCCCGCUGUGUUCAUCGGCGGCCAGCUUGUCGGUGGAGCCAAUGAGGUGAUGAGCCCCAUCUCAGUAGGUCCUUGAUCCCUAUGCUCAAACGCGCCGGAGCGUUAUGGGUUUAAAGAUUUCAUCGACAGUCUCAUCCGGCCAAAUAAGAAAGAAGAAUAAAUAAACAAAUGUGUGUUUUUUUUUUGGUAAAGAACAAAUGUGUGUUUUCGGUACACAUGAGUUUGGAAAUAUAGGUAUAUUAGUCGAACGUGUGGUCAUACUAUGAAGAGAGCUUAUCAUAGUUAAUAUUAGACAAAAUGCUAACUUGUACGGGGUUUGUAUCAUUUUGUGGUGACUCCUGUGUCUGAUCUGAGCAAUAAAAGUGACGCAGUUUUGCUAUAUAUAUAUCUACUUUUUUAUAUGUAUUCGGAAAGAAUUGACUUUAAGUAAACAGUUUGCAUAACCUUUGUUUCACAACUCACGUCCAUCUCCAUUGAUUUAGAUAGUCAGUCAACUUUUCUACCCAUCAAAAUCUUACUUGUUUGGAUCUACUCACUUUCACUUAUAGAAGGCACCAUUAACUUAGGUGAACUAUUAUUGAUCCUUUGAAGGGGCUUAACAACUUUUAAGUACAUGAGUAAGAAUUCGUCAACUAAUUAUGGAAGUGUGGCAAUUGAUUGAUGUAACCCCUAAAUUUGAAAUCGCGAUUUUUUAAUGCGGUGAUAUAAAACGUAGACAAAUGAUGCCAUUCUAAACGUCGCAAUUAAGAGGAUGUAGGAUUUAUGGUUGUAGAAGUGUAAGAUUUUCCAUAAUUUUUCAGACAGGCAUAAAGGUUCAAGCAAUUCAAACAAUAAAUAAGUAAUAUAAGGCGAGAGUAACUGGAUAAUCAUACAUAGAUAUUCGCUCUGACGUGCCUUAAUUUUAUAUCCCAAAUUAAUAACGUAACAAGGUUGGAAUCUACUAGUCAAACAAGUGUUAUACAAAUCGCUACACCGCAGAACUUGUUUCAUGUUAAAAUGUCAGUGUUCAACUCAUUAUUUCAUUUUUAUUCCUCAAGAAAGAGCUCUCACUUUUAUUUCAUUCAAGGUAUCUAGGUUUAUCAAGUAAUCAAUAUGCACAUGAUGGAGAACGUAAAUCUCAAACCUAAAUGAUUGUGGGCAUGCUAUAUCCGACAACCAGAUCAAUUUCAAAGGGACAUGGUGAGGAUCUAAUAUGUAAUUAUAUAUGACCCACUUAUCUAACUAUUUAUUACAAUGCACUACACUUCAUAAAUUAAUUUCAUAUAUCGAUCUUAGCGUCUAAUUUAUUUUUCUAAGUGGUUAAAGCUUGUGAGAGGGUGAGCAACUUGGCAUGCUCACGUGCGAGCUUUACCUAGUAAUUUGCCUUUUAUGGUUGCUAUAGAAAAUUUCUAAUACUAGCAAAUCUCUUAUUCCUAUACAUAUUUAGAUAAAUAAUCUCUAAUCGAUGUACAUAUUUGACAAAAAAUUAAAUGAAUAUUAGAAAAUCAACAAAAAUAAGUUUUAGCAUGUAUAAAAACAAUCAUUACAUAGUGUGAUAGAUAAAAAUAAAAAUAAAAUUUAAUUUUAAUAUUAUCCAAUUUUCCGUACUUCAUAAAUUAAUAUUCAAGUAAAUGCAUGAUGAGUGGUGACCAUUGUUAGGGCUACAACUAUUACUUAGAGGGGGUGAAUAGGUGAAUAUGUGGAAAUUGAAAGAUAAUCGAAUUUAAUAUUGCCAUAGGACAACGUCUAAUGACAAGCUGUGCAUAAUCAAAUCUUAUCAAUGUGCAAUAAUCUAUCACAAGAAAUAAAUAAGAAUUUAAGGAAUAGAAAAAUGCACAGAACAAUUAUAGUGGUUCGGCUUAUAAUAAACCUAUGACCAUUCUCUCCGCCGACAACCUUGGUUAGAUUCCACUAAUGAACCGCUCAAAGGUUACAACAACCAAGUAUUCUCGACUCGAGUAAGUGUGAUGAAAUCUUAUGAUCUCACAUUACUACAACAACCUCUAAAGAUUACAAGUUAAGCUCACAAAGACGAGUGUGUAAAAACAAAGCUUUCUCAAACUUUGGAAUUUUAGGAUUUCAGUUCUCUUUUUUUUUUUUUUUUCCUUCUCCUUUAAUACUCCUUGUUCUCCUAGCCGACCAUUGGACAUAAACUCUGAGAAUUAUUCUUGCAAUCAACCCAAUGGACUUGAAUGAAUCAAGAAAAUUUGAUUGCUCCUAGGAUGCCAAGAAUCUAAGUCUCCCUUGAUUUUGCUGCCCAUCAAGAGAGAUUAGGUGUCCAUAAGUUGAGUUCUUCGUUUGCAAAGUGCGUCUCAUCUCCAAUUGAUUGUUGCAAGAAUUAUUUUUCAAUAGGGAAAGAUUGCGUGGAUAUUAUCCCUCAUAAAUAAUCAAUAAGUAUAGAAAGAAAUCUAGGCCAAUUUACUAGCCAUUGCACUUCACAUCAUAUGGAAUAUCGAAAGUUCUCCUAACAUUUGAUUGUCUCGAUAAUCCUUGCAAAUUACACAUUUGCCUCUGAUUAAGAAGAUAUAAUCAUAUUCUAAGUAGCACCGACACCAACACACGAUAUCCGAUACAUCAUUUAUAAAAAUAAAUAAAUAAAUAAAUAUAGAAUUUGGACACGUUGUAUAUUAAAUAUGUAAUUUUAUAUAUACAUGAUAAAUUAUCAUUUGAUGAUUAUUUUAAUCAAAUUAAUUUGAGUACAUAAAUAAAUAAAAUAAUAAAAGAGCCUUAAAUGAAUUUACACUAAAAAUAUUAAUCCAUUAUUAGUUAAUAUCAUUCAUUAUUUCAAUUUGACAAAUUUAACUCAAUUCCAAUAAUUCAUCAAACUUGAAAGAAAAAACAAGCAAUCCACAUUUUAGACUCACGUGUCGAAAAAAAAGAAGACAAAAGAUAAACUUGAGGGGUAAAUUGUGUGUCACAGAAAGUGAGAAUUAUAAGAGAAGAGAAUACUAGAUUUUUCUUCUUUCUCCGUUUAUUAUUUUUACUACAUUUUGACCCAUUAUUAAUUGAAAAUAUAUAAAAUUGACUCGUGCAUAUCGAAAUUCUGAACUCACAUGUCGAAAUUUUGGACUCAAGUGUCAGAGAAUGUCAUGAGAGUUGAUCAAGUGUCAAAAAGUCUGACACCCGUUUACUGAGUAUCGAAGAGUGUGGGAGAAUGUUGGACACAUGUCUAACUGUCCGACACGAUACGAAAGCUCUCAAAGAGUGUCAGUACUUCAUAUUCAUAUAUUGAUGUAGAGAACCAGAUUCACUAGUGUCUUGAAUUUAAUGAACAUAUUUGCUCCAACCACCGCACCUGAAAAUUUAUCAUCAAAAUUAUAAAACACUAUGUAAAGAUUUUGUUGAUCUUCAAAAUCAUUUAGGGAAUUUGCCUAACUACCCUCAUCAUAAAGUGCAUUAUAUUUUUUAAAUUUGUACUAAACUAUCAACUAAAAAGUUACCCAUCGGCAUAGAAAACCAACAACACAUUUACAAAUCAAUCAAUCGUAUAAAAUGAUGGAAAAUGAGUAUUAACAAAUCAACAAAAACAAUUACUAAUGAUUUCAAAAAAAAAAAUCUAACGAAAGAAAUUAGAUGUCUGGGUAUUGCUUCAAUUUCAGCUCAGUUGUUACUUUGUAAAAAAUAUCAAAAAAUUGGGUGGUGUUUAGACUCAUUGAUAGAAAAGAGGCUAACUUCGACGAACUUUGGAAAGCAACAAGACAAUACAACGUUUCAGUGCAUCUAAUAGUUGACUUUAAUUAUCAAUAAAUGCAAAUUAACUUAACAACCAACAUUUAACAUAAUCUUAAAAAAAAUAUGGUCUUACAAGUCGUGCAACACACUGGUGUCUUGCUACGACUGUAUAAGUUGUCUGUUUUGCAUAAUUUUUUUUAGUUAAUACCACGAAAAAUGCUAAAUUGAUAUACAUAUAACAAAUUUACUUCAAACUAAUUUUUUUACCAUGAAAAACUCUAAACACGUACGCAUGUGACAAAUUUACUCUAAAGUAAUUUUUUUACCAUAAAAAAUCUCAAAAUGGUAUACAUGUGACAAAUUUUUCCCAAAUUAAUUUUUUGACUACAAAAAACCUCAAAUCGAUGCACCCAUGGUAAAUUUACACUCGGUUAGCUUCUAUCAGAUUUUACCAUUAAAUUUGUUGUGCAUAACACAUGAUGACGUGGUAUAUUGCCAUGAAAAUCCAUGCGGUAAAUAUUAUGAAAAAUCCCAAACUAAUACACCUACCAAAUUUAACAGAAAUUUGGGGUAUUUCAUUGUAUUAAUCCUAUGAAUUUCUACGUGAAUUUGCCACAUCACCAUAUCAGUUUGAGGUUUUUUAUGAUCGAAAAAUUAAUUUUGGAUAAAUCGGUCGCAUAUUUACCAAUUUAAGAUUUUUGGUGGUAUUAAAGUUUCUUAAUGACUACCAAUAAUCUCUCCCUACGUGAAUUUGCCACACCACCAUAUCAGUUUGAGGUUUUUCAUGAUCAAAAAAUUAAUAUUAGAUAAAUCGGUCGCAUAUUUACCAAUUUAAUAUUUUUGGUGGUAUUAAAGUUUCUCGAUGACUACCAAUAAUCUCUCCCUAAUAUGUUCGGCGGCGUCUAAAGAGAGCAAAAGUUAUAUCCAGAGACAUGCUCUUUUCACAGCCUAUCACUCAUCGUAAGGAAACUCUCUUUCAUAACUCAAAACAAAUUGUCGUGCACCGACUCGACAUGGACCCUCCAUUAAUUUAUAAGGAGGACCAUUGGGCAAUCCUUUUUCAAGAAAUUACCCAAGAGAAUGAGUAGGAAGUGUCAUUAGUGCUCCACUGAGUAUCCACCUAUAUAGGUGCUUACCCAGAAUUAUUUAUGCCUUACUAAUAAAUUAACUAGUGUUGUAAAAUAUUGCGUUGCGUAUAUAUAAUAGAGAAGAGAUUGAGAAGAGAAAGCAAGUAAACACUAGAGAUAGUAGAGAAAGCCAGAUAUUUCACUAUAUUGUGAUUGUUAUUGUAUUGUACAUCAAAACUAAACUCCUAUUUAUAGGAGAACAAGAAUGUACUUAUCAUUAAUAUCAAUGUAUCGAAUGAUAUAUGUACUGGAUAAGGGAGAUGAACAUUCAUUGUAUAGGGAGAUGUACUUAGAAUAUAUGAUACAAAUGUACCAUAAUAAGUACAUUAGAUAAGAUGAAUAUAAUAAAUAUUCAUUUAUGUAUUUCAUAACACCCCCCCUUGAAUAUUCAUCAUAUUCAUUACAAAUGUGCAUUGAAUGAUACUGCCUCAUUAAAAACCUUAAGCCGAAAAAAUCCAGUGGGAUAAAAAUCGGACAAAAGGGAAAAAGAGUGCAGAGCACAAAUGUUAUGAUAUCUCCCUUUUAUGGAUGCAUUAAUUGUCUCGUUAAAAACUUUAAGUUGGAAAAAUCCUAUGAGAAAAAACCGGACAUAAAGAAAAAAGAGUGCAAUGCAUAUAUAGCCACUCCUAGGGCUAAUCAUUAUUGCAUCUUGUGAACUCGCCGCAUAUCAAUGCUACAAUGCAUAGUUUAUAAUAUCUCCCCCUCAAUUAAGCCAUAUAGCCACUUCUGGGCUAAUCAAUCUUGCAUCUUAUGAACUCGCCGCAUACCAAUGCCAUAUACUAAUUUCUCAAAACUUGAUGUUGGCAAUGAUUUGAUUAAAAAGAUCUACAAGAUUAUUUAUGGAUCGAAUCUGUUUAACAUCAAUUUGUCGACUUUCUUGAAGUUCAUGAGUAUAGAAAAAUUUUGGCUAGAUAUGUUUAGUCCUAUCACCUUUGAUAUAUCCUCCCCUGUCUUGUACAACACAAGCAGCAUUAUCUUCAUAAAUUAUAGUGGGAAAAUUUGUAACCAGUAUUAAGCAACAAGAAUUAUGAAUAUGUGUUAUAACGGAUCUUAACCAAACACACUCUCUUCCAGUUUCAUAUAAAGCAAUAAUCUCAGAGUGGUUAGAAGAUGCAGCUACUAGCGAUUGCUUCGUAGAACGCGAAGAAAUAGCGAUGCCGUUAUAAAAAAAUAAAUACCCGGUUUAAGAGCGAGUCUUAUGUGGAUCGGAUCUAUAUCUAGCAUCAGCAUAUCCAACUAAACCAGAGUUAGUGGAAUCCUUGGAAUAAUAUAAUCCCAAAUCUAUGGUUCCUCGAAGAUAACGGAAAAUAUGUUUAACUCCAUUCCAAUGUCUUCGAGUUGGCUUAGAACUAAAACGUGACAAUAAAUUUACCGCAAAAGCGAUAUAUGGUCUCAUACAUUGUGCCAAGUACAUCAAAGCCCCAAUUGCAUUGAGAUAUGGUACUUCAGGACCAAGUAUCUCUUCAUCAGAUUCUCUAGGACGAAAUGGGUCCUUUUGGGGAUUUAGAGACCUUACAACCACAGGGGUGCUCAAUGGGUGAGAUUUGUCCAUGUUGAAACGUUUAAGCAAUCUUUCAACGUAUGCUAAUUGAUGAACGAUUAUUCUAUUUGCUUUAUGCUCAAGCUUUAGACCAAGACAAAGUUUAGUUUUACCCAAAUCUUUAACUUCAAACUCUCUUUUCAAAUAUUCAGCAGUUUCAGCUAACUCUUCUGGAGUUUCAAUUAAAUUUAUAUCAUCGACAUAAACUGCUAUAAUAGCAAAUCCAGUUUCUGAUUUCUUAAUAAACACGCAUGGGCAGAUAGGAUCAUUCUUGUACAUUUCCUUAAUUAGGUACUCACUUAGGCGUUGAUACCACAUGCGACCGGAUUGCUUUAACCCGUAUAAUGAUUGUUGACGCCUAAAAUUAGUUAGGUUUUAUUUAGCUUUAUUUAACUUUACUUUAUUUUAUUUUAUCUUUUUCGGAUAAUAAAUAAACAAAUAAAAAGCAGAAAAACAGAAAAAACAAAAAAAGCAGCCCUCGCAUGGGCCUUCGGCCCAUCAUCGCCUCAAGCCCGGCCCCUCCGCAUCGUCUUCUUCCUCGCGCCACUGGAGAGCACGCGCGGGCAGGUGCGACGCUAGAGAAGCAUGAGUGGACAGCGGUCGCGUGCGGAGCAGAGGGGCAGGUGGUGUCGACGGGACGUGACCGGAGGCAGCGAUGAUGGCGGAUGGGACGGCGAUCCAACCGGCGGGUCGAAGCCUCGCCGACCGGCCGUUCCCGUGCCUAUAAAUAGAGGGGAGCCACCGUCGACGAAGGGACACGGAUGAAGGCCGGAAAAGGACCGAAAGCUGCAGAUCCUCGAAACCUCCCACUGAGAGACUUCAGAAGGGGGGCCGAGGACGAGCACGCCGAGAUCCAAGGUCGGCCGGAGACCGAAAACAGAGACACGCUCAGAGAGGUCCGAGAGGGAGAGAGGUCGGCCGAAGCUCGAGGUCCCCUAAGAGACUUCGGGGAGUUCGAGCGUAGGGUCGGUCGUGGUGUGGUGACCUCGGAGGGGUCCCCGAGAGACUUUGGGGAGUUCGCCGAGCGAGCCCGAGCGAGAGGGAGGAUAAUCUGGCACGGGUUCGGCCAGAUCUGACCGUCCAGGAGCCAACGUCGCCGUCGUCAUUCGUCGCGGUUGUCGACGUCAGUCCGUCUCUGCCUUUGUUGCCGUUGCUCGCCUUCGCCGUUGCCGCCUUCAGCCGAUCCGGCAUCAUUGCCGUCGCUGUCCUGGCAUCACCGCCAUAGGCCACCGCAAGUAAAAAAAGGGGUCGUCGUUGUCACCGUUGCCUCUGUCGCCAUCGCCUCUUCCCGUAGUCCAAGCGUUGUCGCCGCCUUUGUCGCUGCCAUUGUCACCGACGCCGCCGCCGCCGUAGCACCUCAACCUUCCCCUCUCCAGCGCCGCGAAUCGAGAACCCUAGGGUUCUAGAUUUUUAGGGUCGCGGCCUCGGGUCGUCGGAUCGGACUCGGGCUGCGAGCCGGGUAGGGUUUCAAGGGGGCGGCCGCGAGGCGGGUCAAAAUCCGGGUCGGAUACGGGUAGGGUUUCUGGGGGAGCGGGUCAGCGAACCGGGUCAUGGAGUGAGUGGUGGAUCCGGGUCGCCGGGCCGGGCCGGGCGUCCCUAAACGCUCGGCCACGGCGUCGUUUUGUUUUUAAAAAAAAAAAAAAAAGAGUCGGGCCCGCUACGCAGGCCCGUCUGCGGAUCCGACCCGGGUUGGUUUCGUUUUAUUAUUUUAAUGUAAAAUAGUAUUCUAAUAAAUAAUAAAUAAAUAAUUUAUUUUCAAAAAAAAAUCAAAAAUAAAAAAUGUUUUAAUUUCCAGAAAAUCGAAAAAAUAUUAAAAAAUAUUAAAAAAUGUUUUAUUUUCCGAAAAAUCCAAAAAAAGCUAAAAAUUCAUGAAAAAGCCAAAAAGACUUGUAUUUUUCCAAAAAAUACCAAAAAAAUCCCUUUUGUGUCUAAAAAAUUAUAAAAUGACUCAAAAAAUGUUUUUCCUCCCAAAAAUACAUGGAAAAUCCCUCGAACAUCCAAAAAACCUCAGGGUUUAAACAAGAUUAGAUAUCGAAAGGGCAUUAGUGAUUAACUAGUGUAAUCAAGUCCCCGAUCCUAAUUUCUCUGGUUGCGCAGGAGUGAGUAUUUCUCCCGAUACUUCACUUGGGUUUCUAAUCAACCCACCCCAAAUCGAUUAGUAGCGACUCCAUUUUAAAAAUUGAUUUACAGGUUAAAAACUUGAACCAUUAAGUCGUGAAUUGGUGGACUUGGGAGAGUCCGGGCUUAAUAAAUUCAGCCGAGCCAUUAGCCUCCUUAGGCGUCCGUACCCGAUUGCGGGCGCCAAGAAAAAAAGAGGUCGCGACAAUGAUCUUUGCAAUUUUAUUGAGAAUAAAUUGCGGGAAGUGCAUACUUCAGGCAUUUUGAAUCCCUUAGGAAUUUUCAUAUAAAUAUCAUAGUCUAAUGAGCCAUAUAGAUAUGCCAUCACAACGUCCAUAAGACGCAUUUCCAAUCUUUCAAAGAUUGCUAAGCUAAUGAGAAAACGAAAUGUAAUCAUAUCCAUCACAAGUGAAUAUAUCUCAUUAUAAUCAAUCUCAGGUCUCUAGGAGAAUCCUUGGGCAAUGAGUCAGGCUUUAUACCUAAUAAUCUCGUUUUUCUCAUUUCGUUUUCGGAUAAAUACCCAUUUAUAUCCAACGGGCUUUACAUUAUCAGGGAUACGAGUUAUAGGUCCAAAAACCUCUCGUUUAGUUAGGGAAGCUAAUUCAGCUUUAAUUGCUUCCUCCCACUUAGGCCAAUCUUGCCUUUGACGACAUUCAAUAAUAGAUUGCCGCUCACAAUCAUCAUCCAUAAUUUUAUGAGCAAUUGAGAAUGCAAAAGUAUCAUCAAUAAUGAUUUCAUUUUGAUCCCAAAUUUCAUUACAAUAUGUAAUGGAAUUUUCAGUAUUCUCGGGGCUAGUGCUCCUUUCAUGGGUUUGCGCCUCUUCAGGGGCAAUAAGCUCUUUGGGAGCAAGCACAACGCUAGGCUCUUCUAGAGCGGAUUCCUGAUUCUUUCCCCUUCGUUUUCGAAGAAUAAUAUCUUUUGAUUUUAUCGAUAUACCACACUUCAAGUGCGCAAGUAAACAUGCAAAUGUGACAUUACGCGUAGAUAAUAGGCAAACAUGAGACCAUCUACAGAAUGCGUCCACUAAUACCAUAAAAUAUCGAAAUGGUCCACUUAGUGGUUGUAUUGAUCCACAAAUAUCACCAUGAAUUCUUUGUAAGAAUAAAGGAGAUUCAAGAUUAACCUUUAUUAUAAAAGGUUUGAUAAUGAACUUUCCUUGUGAGCAAGCCUUACAAUUAUAAUCUUGGGACAACAAUACAUUUAUAUCCUUUAAAUGGUACACUUUUGUAUUUUGAAUUAUCCUACGCAUCAUUGAAGCGCCAGGAUGACCAAGGCGAUCAUGCCACAGUCCAAACUGAUCAGGGCUUACCAAUCUCCAGGAUGUGGUGGCGUAGGUUUCAACAGCCUUAAUUAUGACACAAUACAAACCCAUAGAAGAAGCUUCUAGCUUCUUAUAGAUGGUCUUUAGGCCCAUCUUAUAAGAGGAAUUGCCAAUAUAUUCCUUAUCUUGCUCAUAAAUAGUCUCAAUAUGGUACCCAUUACGGCGUACAUCUUUAAAACUGAGCAGAUUCAUUUUUGAUCGAAUGCUUAUAAACACAUUCUCAAUAGGCAGGAUUGUGCCAUUUGGCAAAAUAAUUGUAGCAUUCCAAAAACCAUCAAUAAUCAGAACAGGACCUGAUAUUGUAUGGAUUUGUGCCUUACGCAAUGUCAUACUCGAGAAAAAGUGUCUACUACAAAAUAUAGUAUGUGUUGUUGCACUAUCAAGCAAACAAACAUCUUCCUUUUUCUCAGUAUUUUUCAUUUGUAUUUAUAUUGACAACUUCAAGUGUCAAGUAUCAUAAAAAUUGCAUAUUAGUUAUAUAGUCGAAUAAAAUUUCAAAAAUAAAUAUUAUAUAAGGUUCAUAAGCAUUUCAUAAAAAACAAUAAAAAAAAAUACAUUUAAAGCGAAACAACAUAAAAUUCAAAGUUCAAAUUAUCAUCCACCAAUCUGAUUCAUGAAAGUAAUCAGAGGUCCUCAAAGAAAUCAGAGACAUCCAAUGAUGCAUUUGCUACUUCAGGAGCAAGAGGAGUCCCACCAACGGAGAUAUUGUUGGCCUCAACAGUGGUUAUGGCAGGAGGAUUGAUUUCAAUGGCAUGGGAUUCAUCACGCUUGCCUGUAUUCUUUAAAAAUGCCUGGUAUAGGUUAACAAAAUGUUUUGGCGUACGACAGGUACAUAACCAGUGCCCAGUCAUGCUGCAGCAAUGACAAAUACUUUCAUUAAUCACUUUCUUUGGCUUCUUUUCUUUGCCAUGAUUUAGGCUAAAAUUUGAUUUCCUAGGGCGGUUAAAUUUCUUACCAUCCCUUCUAGGAUUAUGUUCUUGCCUGCGCUUAUAGCCCUUAAAAUGGCUAGUAUUUUUCUCAAAGUUAGCAUGUGCUUCAAGCAAUACUUUUGAACCAGCAGAUUUAAGAUCAUGAUUUUUUAACAGCAAUUCAUUAGUUUGCUCGGUAGUAAGAAGCACGGAAAUUAAUUCAGAGUAUGUGGCAAACUGACGCUAUUGGUAUUGCUGUUGCAAUACAAUAUUUGAAGCAUGGAAGGUGGAGAAAGUUUUCUCUAACAAAUCCGCAUCAGCGAGUUUGAUACCACAUAACUCAAGCUAAGAAACGAUAUCAAAUAAAGCGGAAUUAUAGUCAGACACAGAUUUAAAAUAUUGCGGUCUGAGAUUUUGCCAAUUAUAUUGUGUUUAAGGGAGGAUAACAGUUUUGGUAUGAUCAUACCUAUCCUUCAACCUCCUCCACAAGAUAUGAGAAUCUCGAACAGAUAAAUAUUGAGUCUGCAGGCUCUCAUGCAAAUGACGACGAAUAAAAAUCAGCGCAUUUGCUUUAUCCUUUUCAUUUGAGGUUACAUCCUUUGUAAUUGUAUUGGCGAGACCUUGCCAUUGGAGAUGCAUUUCCAUUUCAAUGCACCAGAAUAGAUAAUUCUUUUCACUCACUUUCAGGAUAUGGAAUUUGGGCUUUUCAACAUUUGCCAUAAUCCUUGCAAAAAUAAAUCCUUAAAUUAAUUAAAAGGAUUUCAAAAUAUCCACCGCCACUUCAGGAGCAGAAGGAUACUUUUAGAUUUGAAAUAUGGCUUCGGGCCAAGAAAAAUAAAAAUGAAGAAUUGAUAGAAAAAGAUGAAGUAUAAGUUAAUCAAUAAAAAGAAUACCCACCUUGCAAGAAUUACUUACUCAGUCGGUAGAUCUUCGUGCUAAUAACGUGUUGUAAAUUAUUGCAUUGCGAAUAUAUAAUAGAGAAGAGAUUGUGAAGAGAAAACAAGUGAAUACUAGAGAUAGUAGAGAAAGCCAGAUAUUUCACUGUAUUGUGAUUGUUAUUAUAUUGUACAACAAAACUAAACUCCUAUUUAUAGGAGAACAAAAAUAUACUUAUCAUUAAUAUUAAUGUAUCGAAUGAUACAUAUACUGGAUAAGAGAGAUGAACAUUCAUUGUAUAGGGAGAUGUACUUAAAAUAUAUGAUACAUAUGUACCAUAAUAAGUAUAUUAGAUAAGAUGAAUAUAAUGAAUAUUCAUUUAUGUAAUUCAUAACAACUAGCAAUCAAAAUCUCCUAGAUGCUUUUUUGGCUUCACGAUAUUUGCCGAGCCGUCGAUUUGAAUGCUCUUCCCGUGCAUCAUGUGCAGGCCCAUCACCCCCUCUCUCCCGAUUGCCUUAUCGCCAGACCGCUUGCAGCCCGUUCGUCAUACGGCCCCGACUCAUUAGGAGCUAAAAGAGUAUGAACGCUAACAGUUUCUAAAGAAGUUUAGCAAUAGGUUUAGCUAGAGAGUAGAGAUCAUGAAAUUCAAACUAGAGAGGCAGGGUCAGUGAUUCAGGCGGGUAGUUAAAAGCCCCGGUACCCCAUGCACAAAUUCAUGUGAUCCUUAAACUAUCAAUAUGUUGUUCACAUGAUUAAUCCAACCUAGAUUUUUUCUUCCUGGCCAACAGUCAUGUGAUCCUUGAACCAUCAUUAUGGAGGAAAAUUUUAAAUAAAGACCUGAAUUCACCGACUGGCGAAAUCUUUGUAGGUCAGCUUCAUCUAAUUGGAGAUGGGGUAAUUUUUUCCAAUAUUUGCAAAAGUGGGUAAAAUCCUAAAGAAAUCACAAAUCGAAUGGGUAAAUCCGCAUAGACUGUGCCUCCUCGCGUUCUUCAAGUCCCGAUUUUGAUUUCACUCUCUCCUUCCUCUCUCUGCAAAAUUGCCGUUUCCACAAGCGUGGUGCGACCUGGACUCCAUCUGUGGCCGUUUCUUCUGCAGAGCUUCAUCCUUCUUUCGUCAACGGCAUCUGUAAAUCUUAACCAUGCUAUUGCACUGUAGUCCGUUCUGCGGUGGGCUCUCUUGCAUUCUCUCUUAUGGGCACUCUCAAUCCCAUUAAAGUCGGGUUCUUUCUCAUCGUCUACAAGAUAUGUGGAAUGGCCUAUAUUGUUCUUUUCUUGCUAAUUUUUUGUUUCAGCCGUGGCCAGGUUUGCUCAUGCAGUUGAUAAAGUUUCUGUAAGGUUUCCUCCAAUGACUUCACAGGGUCGAGGACCGAUUCUGGUGAUUUAAGCAAGAAAGGAAAGGACAGCAUGCGCUGGCAGCUGAGCCUCUGUUGAUGUCUUUCCCUCAUGCACAUACUCCAAUCAAAAUUCAAUUUAGGAUUCUUGAUUUUUAGGGUUUUACCCAUUUUUUACCCUGUUGCAAAUUAUGGCCAAAGUUACAUUUGCUCUAACAAUUGGAAAGAGCCGACAGUGAAGAUUUGGUGAACUGGUUAUUUCGAAUUCUUAGUGAAAACUAAUCCUACUAUUUCAAGCUCUUAUUUAAAGUCAAACUCAAAGCUCUCUUUUGAGAGAACAUUCUACUUCUACCCUUAUUUCAAAACGGACUCCACAUUCUACCAAAUUUAGGCAAAUACCUCAAAUAUUACUUCUUUUAAGUACAUACACGGCACACCAUUUUGGCCAAACAGAAAAAUCAGCAUAUUUUCACAUUUCAAGGCCGCCGGCAUCGAAUUUUUUUGAAUUAAUCAUUUCCAUUAACGGAAAUAACAUAAAAUAACUAAUUUUGAAAUUAUCAUUUUGAAUGAAGUUAGCCAAGGCAUCACCAGCUAAAAUUUAAGUCAAGUUGUCACAAGCAAAAAAGACUCAGCCACACCAGGAAGGCUCAAAUGUAGAAUGGUAUACAGAAGUAUUUUGCAUGGCACAUGAACGUCCAUCAAAUUCAGAGGCGAACAGAAAGCCAUGCUGCACUAUAUUUGGAACCUGCUCAUGGACAACACUAUAUUCACAUAUUGAAGGAAUAAGGCGGGCUUUUCAGACCUUUGCGAACAUUUGCACUGCAUGGACUCACCCAAAAAUCUGUACCAUCCGUCACGACGCUGCUCAUGAUUAUCCAAGCAAAAGCAGAAGAAUCUCCAUUUUCUGGCUCCAAAAGGAUCACAAAUGCCCUGAUCAAAGAUUCAGAUGACCUAACCUUCGCAAAGCUGUCCUUCCAUGUAUGAAGCAUGACAUUGUUCAGGCUUUAUAUUAUAGCAGCUCCGUCUCCUCGACAUCUGCAUCUGCAUCCUCAACCUCGUUUUCUUCAUCUUCGUCAGGUGCAUCUGGAUCCACUCCCUAGAAGAAACCAACACCCAGUCAAUGCCUCACAUCACAGGAAUGGUCUGCUCUCUCUACUGAAGUGAGAAUAAGUGAAGGAUUUUCCAACAUAAUAUGCUCAAUAGUUUUGUUCUCACUUGUCAUCUGUCUCUCCAAGCGGUCCAAUCCUUUCUUGGCAGCUUCAUUCUGCGAGUUGAUCCUGAAUUGUAAUGAGAAGAGAGCAUGAAUAUAACAAUAAAGACAUGAACUUGAUCUUUCUUUUAUCUUCUUUUUUUCCCAAACUGUAUUGUUUCCUCUUUUGCAAGGAUCUAGUAGUACCACUGAAAAGCCUGGAUCAAGAAUUUUCAAGAACUAAAAUGAGCAUGCCUUUAAUUAAAUUACAACCUUAAUGCAGCCUGAUAAUGGGCCAACGCAUCCUCCAGCAUAUUAGUUGCAGAGAAAACUUGAGCCAACUUAACAUGAAGACGGUCAUCUGCCCAGUCCUUGAGAUAUCUCUCAAGAAGAGAGACGGCAUCUCCAUUUCGUCCCUCAAUGACAUGCAGUUCAGCCAAAGCUAAUGCAGCUCCAAGGUAACCAGGUUCGAGACGAAGAGCUGACUCAUAGAACUUUUUUGCCUAUCACCACUCCAGGCUAUUCAGAGACUUCUUCACCUUAGUUAAAAGAAAUGGAGAUUCUAGAACAGUCUGGGAAACACUUACACACCUUCUCCCUACCACCAGGAUUCCUAGCAUGUACAUCUCCAACCAAUUUUAGAGCCCUUGCAGAUUGAGGCAUUGCUUUCAUUGCUUCCCUGGCCGUAUAAAGGGCUUCUUUAACUUUUUGAGCAUGCCAAAUAAGAGCAAACUAAACCUGAAAUGAUAAUAAGCUUCCAAUCACUCAGACGGUCAAGAAUUAGACAUGUACACCUUUGCUGCAACAAAUUCUAAGUAGUUUCCCACACACCUUGAUAUGAACGAAGAUCAGGCCUCAACUCUCGAGCUCCUCUGAAGGCAACUACAGCUGCUUCAGGCCUAUCCAUUGAUAAACACAGGUUUCCCUGCAAACACAAGAGAAAUAAGUUUGAUGAUUACAUUUAACAUUGACCGAUCAAGAUUUAUACCAGAAGCUUAUUAUCAGGAUCUUUUAAAUAGCUUUCAUAAAUGAAGUUUCUUCAAAUUCAAAGCACAAGAAGCUGUGUAAAAUUGGCAAAUAGCAGGGGUCCAAUAAUUUCGAAAAUCAAGUGUCACUCUUAGUUAGAAAGAGGCGUCCUACCUGGCCAAGAAGUAUUAAUUGUUGGGUAUUCUUAUCUUCCAAGUUUCCAAUAAAUCCUAGGUUAGCUUGAACACUUCAUCUUAGUAUUAAAUAACUAAAAGCAAACUGUAUUUAAUGCACUCUGAUCUUAUCCAAGAUGGCUUGACUUGCUUGCUUCUUCUUCCAAUGGGUGUGUAGUCCUUUUCUUGGCCUCCAAGAUCUUCUACUUAGUUUAGUGUUAUGGCUAGGCUAGGCUAUNNNNNNNNNNNNNNNNNNNNNNNNNNNNNNNNNNNNNNNNNNNNNNNNNNNNNNNNNNNNNNNNNNNNNNNNNNNNNNNNNNNNNNNNNNNNNNNNNNNNAUUCGCAUUGUUCAUAUUUGUUCGCACUUAGUUUCUAAGACCUAAUUGUGAACCCUAAGUGUGAACCCUCCUAAUUAGGCCAAGGUGUCCCCCUCAUUAAUGAGACAAAGUCCAAGUUUCAAACUUGUUUUCCAAAGCAAGGGCCUAUUAUGUCAAGUGUCCACCCUCAGUCAACAUACAUUUAAUAACUACGUGACAAAGACGUUAAAUGAGACUUGGAAAAUACCUAAGAUUUGAAAGCCUUAUCAUUGGAUAGGGAUUAAUCGAUUUUGACCGCGAUCAACAACCUUAUUUGGCCUGAGAUUCAUGCAUAAGCUAUGUCCAAACAAAGUCAAACACAACCUAUUUUGAUUGGCCAAACCGAGUUCCAGCUCCCUUUAUCGAGAAAAAUGGUCACAACUAGGUUUGCUGGCUAGGUUCUAGCCUAGUUGGUCGAUUCUCUAACCAGUUCAUGGGCUAGCCCAUGGGUCAAUACUACUUGGUCAGUCUUGUGGUCAGUCCUUGGGCUAGUCAACCAGUCCUGUAGCCAGUUCUAUGACUAGUCCAAGGUUUUACACCAUAAGUCUUGGUCAGUCCAAAAUUGAACCAUGGUCGUCUUGGAUCAACUCAAGGUCGUUCGCACCCUAUACAAUGACUAGGCGGAAUCACCCGCUACUGGUGCAUUGACCAGGCAAAAUCAAGCUAUGACCGUCCGCCAAUCCAUGAUGCCACACGAUCAUCCCACAAUCGAUCCUUAUAGUCAAAUAAUCGUUCCAUGGUCAGAUACCCUAUAACCAGACCUUGGGUUGUUGAUCCCUGAAUGACCAAGCCAAGUCUCGCCAUUAAUGUUCUGGGCUUUAACCUACUAGUUUCAAGCCAAGUCUCGCCAUUAACGCUCUGGGCUUUAGCCUACUAGUCGGCCAAAAUUAGAGUUGAAAUCAAGGAUAUUACAUAAAUUAAGAGAGUUGAUACAUAUUUUCAUGGAAAUUUCUCUUUUUUAAAAACUUGAUUUUUAUGGAAGUAAAUACUAAAAAUAAAAAAUAAAAAAUAAUGCUUUUUUUUUCUUUUUGGUAUUGGAGACAUAGUGCUUUUAAUACACAUGGGGCACCCACAAUAUACUAAAGUAAAACAUAAGAAAUGCCUAAUUAUGGCAAUUAGAUUCAAAAUAAAAAAAAUGAAAAUAAACAAAUAAAAUAAGGAAGGAGACCACCAUAACAAAUUGCAAUUAAAUGAUCGAGAAUAAUUUUGCCUUUUUAGUAAAAAUAAGAUGAAUUUAAUCACAUAAGGGUGAAAUUUAUGUUGCCCUUUAGGCUCCAUUCAUUUCACAAAAAAUAACUCCAGGAAAAUGUUUUUCAGAUUUUCCGACAUUUGUUUCAUAGAAAAUUAAUUAGUUAGAAAAAACAUUUUCCAUGAAGGGAAAAAAUCCUCUAAGAUUUGAGAAAAUGUUUUCCAUUUUUGAGAAAGAGGAAAGCAUUUUCCAUACCUUCUUUCACCUCACUUUCAUUCAUCAAGUACAUUUUCCUUUUAUUUUUUUGAAAAAUCAACUUUUAAUAUUUUUUUCCUUUUGUAUUUCUUCUCUUUUUUUUCUUUUCCUUUCUUUCUUUUUUCUUUUCUUCUUCAUUGGUAGGUUGUCGGCCAUGGCAGCAGCUGAGGACUAACCAUGGGCGAGCUGGAGCCUUGCCACAGGCCGGCGGCUUGAGCUCGCCAAAUUCCAACAGGGUUAAGCCUAGCCAACUUGUGGUGAAGCCAAGCUCGCUCGACACUAAUGAGCUCAAGCCUUGCCAGAUCGCACAACUUAGGUGGAGCUCGAGCCUCGCCAAAGGUUGCCAAACAUCAGCAAGGCUCCGAUGACCUGGGUGAGGCUUGAAAGAGCUAGGGCCUCACCAAAUCCAACCACCUAGGCAAGGCUCGAGCCUCGGCCGAGGUCGUCAAAUGUUGGCAAGUAUCUAGCGACCUCCAACGAAGCUCGAGCCUUGUCCACAUGGUCGAAUCUGGGCAGCUUGAGCUUGUUGGCGUCAAGCAAGCUUGGCCUCACCGGCUUAUGGCAAGGCUCCAGCUCGCUAGUGGCCAAUCGAUGCUUGCCACCGUGGUUGAUGACAUGCCAAUGAAGAAGAAAAAGAAAGGAGAGAAAGAAAAAGAAAAAUAAUUAAAAUAAUUAAAAAUCUAUUUUUAAAAGUAUAUAAUAAUAAUUAUCAUCAUCACCAUCAUCAUCAUCAUCAUCAUCAUCAUCAUCAUCAUCAUCAUCAUCAUCAUCAUCAUUAUUGAAAGAGGGUGCAUGGAGGAAAAGAUUUUCCUUACCAAACAGUCAAAAAUAUUUUCCAGUACAUUUUCAGGUUUCAGCCAAACAACGGAAAAUAUGAUUAUUUUUCUAGAAAGUGGUUUCUUGAAAAAUAUUUUCUUAAAAAGUCAUGUUUUCCGGGAAAUGAAUGGAGUCUUUAUGAAGGUGGGAUGGCCUCGUGGGCGGGUUUUGGGAUGAUUGAAGUUAUAGGUAGGUUUAAUAGAGUCAGAAAAAGCUUCAAAGAUCACGAAAUAGCCAAUUUGGGACAACGUGAAGAUGGAAUACAUGGAGAACAGUCGUCCAACAUUGCUUACCUAGAGAACUUUUCAAACUUGUAUCCCCUAUAAAAUCAAGGUUUGUAAUGAGAAAAGGUUGGCCCUAGAGUCCUUUUUUGAUAUCUUUAUUCAUUUUAUCUCAAAUACAUAAGAUAAACAAAAUAAAUAAAGAAAAAUCUUUUCUAAAACCAUCCCAAGGCAGUAGAUUCCCGGGGUGGGGCAGAGCAAGACUAAUGCCAUCCCCUCCCCACCUCGCCUCCUGACUUGCCUUGUGCCUUACUUAAUGCCCCGCGAGGCAAUUUUUGCGAGGAAAAUUUGCCCCAGUCUAGAGGGAUUCCUCACCUCCCGUGCCCCUCCCUAGAUAUUUCCCUUGCAAAGGGGAAUAUUUCAAAGAAGGAAUCUGUUGAUCGAUGUAAUUUUUGAGUAUGCGAGUAUUGUGGUGUAAUAAUGCGGUCUUGAAGGAAACCUUGAUAAUUUAAUACUGCAGAAGAGACCAAGAGUAAAUGUGAGUGAUAUAGUUGUUGCGGUCCUCCCAUGCGACAAGCAAGCGGAGAUUCGGUUUUAGUACGUUAGCAUAGAAGAAUAUUUGGAUUAAGGGAGAGUAUGAUUAACAAAGGAAGCUCACACAUGGAGGGAUAUUGUUGAGGUGCAUACUUGAGUUGCGGAGAGAAAUCUCAUAUUGGAGAUUUGACAUGGAUUGGAUUAAAUAUUUAGCGUCAACUAGACAUGUUAAUUACCUUGCAUUUGGAUUCUCCGUUUGAUGAUAUGGCUAGGGCAAAUGUAUCAAACCUUAAAUGCACAUCCCAACCAAUGGCAAAACAACUCAUAUGUUGGCCCCGACUCAUUUUUAUCUCUUUGUUUGGUUGGACACAUUGUAAUCAAGUUCCGAGCACAUCAAGUGCCAAAACUUGGCACAGAAAGAUAUUUAAGUACCAAAAGUUCAAAAAAAAAUACACUUAAGUACCAAAAUCAAAACAAAAUGGAUCAAUUAAGAAAUUCUAGCCAAAAUGCCAAUGUGGUAUUUUUCUAACAAGAUAAGUGCAAAAAGUGCAAAACGACGCCAUUUUGCACUCUAACAUGGCUAGAUAAGCUAAAAACACCGUCAUUUUGUAUUAAUAUAAAUAUUAAUUGAAUUGAACAUAAAACUAAAUAAUAAUAAUUAAAAAAAAAAAAUGAAGAAGAAGAAGAUUGCAAAAGCGAUUGGUGAGGGCUAUGCAAGCCCUCGUCGCUGCCUCCCCACCAUCGCCGGCCCUUCCUAGUGAUGUCGAGGGCUUCUUCUUUCUUUCUUUUUAAAAAAUAUUAUUAAUUAAUAUUUAUAUUUAUAUUAAAAUUUAAAGAAGAGGCAAAACGACAUCGUUUUGGCUCUUCUUUACUGACUCAGCUUUCUAACGAACCACGUGGGGCAACUUAUAUUAUUAAAAAUAAGUCAUGUUGGAUUUCCAGCACCUUUCAUCGAUAUUACCACUUAAAUAUCUCAUUUUUCAAAGAAAGUGACACUUAAAUAUACCUUUUGAGACUUUUGAUAUUUAAGUGUCCUUUGUGCCAAGUUUUGACACUAGUACUGUACUUCUGCCCAAUGUAACCAUUCAGGAGUAUUGUCACGUGGUAUUGGACUAAAAUACCAAUGUACCAAAUUAAGGUCGUAAUUCGUGUUAUUGCAAAUCAUCAAAAACUUAGGGCAAAACAUUCAAAAUUUGUUGGAGUCGUGUACAGGUUGUCAUUAGCAUCACAUUCAUUUUUCAUAAAUCACAAACCCACUAGUCUAUGAUUUGUGAAAAAAUACGGGAAAUUACUCAAAACACUGCCAUGCUUUAACGGUAGUGCACGUUUAUCCCCAAACUUUUAACUAUUUACACAAUCUCCUCCACAAUUUUCAUUUUCUUUUGGCCAUUCAAAUUGCAUUAUAUUUUCUGUUAGUGUGUGCGAUUCAAACGACUUUUAAGGGGUGAAACUGUUUUUUUUUUUUUUUUUAUCUAUCUUUAAGGAAAUUUCUCUUUUACCAUUGGUUUCUAUUAAAGGAUAAAAAAAUAAAGCAAAUGGAGAAAAUAUAUUAACUAAAAUAUUAAUAUCAGAAAAAAUAUAUUACUUAUAAUAUUAAAAUCAAAUUUGGUUAAUAUUUUAAGAAUAUAUUUGACAACUAAUAAGGUAUUUUUAUAAAUAAAAAGAAAUACAAUUAUGUAAAAAGGAAAAAUCCCUUAAUAAAAAAAGGUAAAAUUACAAAAAUUGGAUAUACAAUAUGUGUUUUUAAAAGGUGAAUUAAUGCAAAUUGAUUGAUUAACAAAAAAUAUUUAAAAGUAUCACCUUACAUUUCGAUUUACCAUUUCCUAUUAUAAAUGAGGACAUCGUUUUUUUCAUAUAAUUUUUAGAAUAUAUUCAUUUAUCAGUCACUUAUUACACUAAUUAACCCUAUAAUGAGCAACCAUUUUUUUUUCAUUUUACCUUUUCGCUAUGGAGGCAUUUUUCGUUUUUAUUUAUUUUGUGUGAAUGAUUUUAUAAUAGAUAGUUAGUAAAGUGGCUAUAUUUAUUGAAUUUUAACGAAGUUUUAGUGUUUAAUAUUAUAAGAAUAAUUUACUUUUCUAUUAUUAGUAUUUUCUCGAUACAUUUUUCUCUCAUUUUCAAUAGUUUUUCAUUUUUUUUAAGCAAUUUAGGGCAAAGAAAAUAUUUCCUUAAAAAAAUGAGAUGAAAAUAUAUUUACCGUUAAAAGUCAUAUUGGGAAAAGUACAUCAAUAGUUUUUUAUGAUUUUUGUACAGCAUUCACUUGAGUUCCAUAAUUUUUUCUCACUUAAAUGCCACAUCAGAGUAAAAUCAAUCAUUUAAGUGCCACUUAUGAUCAAUCAUCCUAUGUGGAAAUUUUCCAUUCGACAUGGAUUUUUAAUGUUUUUAUUUUCAAAUUUUUUAUUUUUUUUAUUUUCAUUUUUUGUUUUUUUUUUUCCUUUAUUUCAGGGCCGAUGAGGUUCACCAGUAACCCUUAUCAAUUGCGAAGGCAUUGCCCAGACUAGGUGUGGCCGCGUCACCCUCAGCUGAUGUGGCUGCAAAAGCCUUGGCCUCACCUAAGGCCUUUGUAGCUGAGGGCUAGGCCUUCACAACUAGCUAAGGUCGCCAAUGACCCUUGCUGACCUUCGCCGACCUUGAAAAAGAGUGCAAAAAAGGAAAAUAAAAAUAGAAAAUAGAAAACAUAGAAAAUAUUACAAAAUUAUCAAUGUCAAUACUGGUGAAGCCAUGUAAGAUAAUUAGCAUCCACAUCGAAUUUUCUAACGAGGCAAAUCACUGAUAGCACUAAAGUGAUCGACUUUUCAAAUUUGUGACACUAAAGUGAGCAAAAAGAAAGUAAUUAUAUUCGAGUGAGCAUUGUACGAAAGUUAUGGCACUUGCAUUAUUCUUAUGCCAAGUCAUGUAUAUGGCACAUCCUAAGAAAAAAAAAUAACAGACGUUUAAUGGCAUUUAUAAAAUGAAAUUUCAGGAGGUAUUAUGUGACAGCUGAAAGUUCGGAGGCAAAUGUGUGCUACCCCCAAAGUUUAGGGCAACUUUGUGUAACUUCCCCACAAAAUGAACAUGCUUAUAGUAGUUCUAUGACUCGAGUUGCUAAUGCAUUGAUAUGAUAUGCCUCAAGAGAAACAAAAUGCUCAGUUACUUUUAUAAUUGGUCAUGAGUUCGUCCCAACCAAAACAUCGUGUACAUAUACAUAGAGGUGAAUAAGGAGGAGAGAUUUGUAACAGGUACGAGACUCGUACGGUAAGGUCUAAGUACAAAUAGUAACAAUGGUCAUUCCGCUUAAAUCUUUCUAUUCCACGGGAGAAAAAAGGAGAAGAGAAUGAUGGGACUUUGUAGACCAUAUAUCACAAACAAUCACUUGUUAGAUCGCACCCGCUACUGAAGGGGGCCUUGGUCUUUCUUGUUGGGCUAAUUUAGACGGACUGAAGAACUACAAAAGAGAUGCAUACUCCACUCAACGUCCAUUCAAUUAUUUUUGUUCAUUUAUGGCUCAAGCGAGGGUAUUAGGGUUUCAUUCCGAGAAACUCUUUGAGCAUCCGGCUAAUCAUCGUUGGCCAUAGGAGUCCUGUUAUCAAUCCUUAGAACAUUGGACAAUCACUGUUGGGAUCAGCUCAACUCAAAAAAAUACAAGACAUUACGGGUAAGAACAUGUGGACAUAGUCUCGUUAUGAAUCCAAUAAGCAAACAAUGUGAGAAACUUUUAACACUCCUUUUAAAGCGUGCAAACUUGAAUAACAUAACUUGCGGAAUGCGCGUGGAGUUGAAGAACGAGGAACAGAUAAAUAAGCAAUCACACGCGCAUACUCCAAGAUGCGGGCUCAUGCGCAACUGUGGUGGCCGAAGACUAAGUUUUCUACGAUGAAGGAAAGCAUGCUUUAACCCUCAGCAGCCCUAAGUCAAAAAAGCUACUUUCAAUUUGGUAGAGACCGAUAUAGGCAUGCCAAGAAUAUGUUAUACUUAAUUUGAUUUGAUUUGCUAUACCACGAGUUAAACUCCUUUUGAGUAUUCAAUCAUACGGAAAUUCUUCGUGUUGGGGUCCCACUUUUUUUUUUUUAACUAAUCAUUGAAAGCAUGACAUGCCACUUAACAAAACCAAGAUUCCAUAUUUCUUAGUGACACUAGCAUCGUCCAGAAUUCGUUCGUUAUGUUUUCAAACCGCUCUUCCACAAUCAAUUGAGAAUCAAAUCAUUGGUCGAAGGCUCAAUCGAAUCUCGAUAUGCCAAUUUUGUGAAGCACGUGUACAUUGUCUUUGGGAGGAAGUUCAGUCCCAUCAAUAUCUUGUUUCUUAAUAAUUUCUUCAUCUAAGUUGUAACUUCUUUAUUUUUAGGGAUAAGUGCAUUUGAAAUUUUAAAACUUAUCAUGAAAGUAUUAAAUACUAAAAUUUUUAAGUCUUAAACUUGUCAUGAAGUGCAAUUAAGUACUAAAACUUGCGAAAACUGUAUUUGGUUCGUAAAACUUGUCAAAUUAGUGCAAAUAAGUCCUUCCAUUAAUUUUUGAAAAUUUUAGAACUUGAUUACAUUUUCGUAAUAAAUUUUAAAACUUGAUUGCACUUUUUGAAAAUUUUAGAAUUCGAUUGCAAUUUCGCAAUAAGUUUUUGGACUGGAUUGUACUUUUAAUAAUUUUAAGAUUCAAUUACCCUUUUAUGACACUUUCAUUACAAGUCUUAGGACCUUAGUGCAUUUAUCCCUUUUCUUUAAUAGGAGUGAUCAACUCCCGGUCUAGUUCGGUGCUUCCCCAAAAUUGGGAACUAGUUGAGUUCAAAGGAGGGAAUGCCUCAAACUCCAUGAGAGGUGAAAGAGAUCCAGAAAAAGGGGAAUACAGUAAGAAAAGAGUAGCUGUGAGUGUCGUGAGACAAAAAGGAAAGACUAAAAGAGGAGAGGAGGCAUGCGUGAGACAUUUUAAAUACAAAAUAAAUAAAUAAAAAGCAAUCGAUCACCACCUAAACACCAGUUUCAUUUUUAGGAACCAAGAACCAAAUCGGCACUUCCAAGAGCCAGAUCCAACUAGCUGGCUUGGUUCGGUUCGAAUGAUUUCCGAUUUGGUCAAUCCAUCUCAGUCACCCCUAAAUCUAAAGAAUAUAUUUAUCUUUACUGUAAGUCCAUCUCAGUCGCCGCCUGAGCUACCGCCACCUCUCUCCUCCAUUCCUGCGCCCGACCAGCGACUGCCACCCCUUCGUCCAACCGUGAACAACAGCCAAGAAAAUGGGUAUGGCAGCUCGAUUUUGGCCCGUUUUGGCCGCCUUCCCGAGCCCAGAUGCUCAGCCCACUUUGAGGAAAGUCGAUCCUUGCGUCGUCCUCGUCGUUUUGGUCCGCUCGGCUCACUAAUCCGGUGAGUUUAGCUCACUAAAUCUUGAUUAGACGGUUAAUGAUGCCCUAAGUGUUCUUAGUCUAAGUUAAGUAAGUUUAAGUGGUUAGAUUAGUUUAUUUGGUUGAGGAUUAGAUUAGGGUGUUUAAUUAAGCUAAAGUGUGUUUAGUUUAAAGUUGAGUAGGUUUAUUUUAAUAUAAGCCUUGAUGUGACAUAAAUGAAUUAACUUUUGAUUUAUUUAAAUACCUCGAAAUUAUUAAAUAAUUUAAUAAUUUAUUAUUAUUCAAAUUAUUAAAAUGAUAUUAUUUAAUUAUUUUCGGAAUAAAUUUAAUUAUUUGUUAAAUUCCGAAAAUUUUGUCAAGACCCUAAAUUCUCAUAAUUUCGUGCCAGUCGCUACUGUAUAGUCAGAUUUUGAAAUUGAUGGUUAGAUAUUAUAAAAUUGAGUGUGCAUUUACAAUUUGAAUUUGAUGAAUGGAUGUGGCAAAUGGAGUGUGAUUGCGAUAAAUAGAGAUUAUUUUUAUAAAUUUUCAAGUGUCAAAAUUGGAUGGAAGAACGACCAUAUUUGACCACCUAUUAAAGGUUGUGCUCAGUGGGGCCGUGAUUGACCACCUAUUAGAGGUUGUGCCCAGUGGGGCCGUGAUUGACCACCUAUUAAAGGUUGUACCCAGUGGGGCCGUAAUUGACCACCUAUUAGAGGUUGUGCCUAGUGAGGCCGUGAUUGACCACUUAUUAGAGGCUGUGCCCAUCGGGCUGAGAUCUAUCACCUAAUUAAAGGUCGUGCUGAGUGGGGUCGUGAUUGCCACUAGUUGUUAAACCUUCCCAUAGGGUCAUGAUUGGGAGCAGCGAUUGAUUUGCUAGAAUGACAUGUAAUCGACCGAGUCGAUUGAUUGCUGAGACGAUCCAAGUGGUUGAAUUAUUAUGAUAAUGCGAUUGUGCCAUAGUUGUCUGGUUAUCAUAAUUGCACGUGGUUGAAUUAUAUAAACUGUGCCAACUUGCAGAUGAAGACUAAUGCGAGGUAAGUCUUUUGUGUAAUGUGGCUAGGCCACCCGGGGCAUAUUUUCUUUCUAAUAAGGGUUUAGGGGGUUGAACUUGCUGAGACAAAGUCUCAUCCCGGUUGUGGGAUUAAAAUUUCAGGUCCCUGGUGGACGGAGCGACCAGAUGGCUUUGGUUGGCUUUGAGGAGUUGCGGAGGUGAAGUCAUCAGGAUUGGAGAACGUGUUCGACUUGUAGGUUGUAGGACAGUUCCUUUUUAAGAGCCAAUCUUUUGUAAACUUUUGGCCGUAGACCUCUAUUUGUAAUUCUGUUGAAUUAUGAAAGUGUUAUGUUGUGAAUUUGCUUCCUGCUUUUCUAUCUCGUAUAUCAUUGUCAGGGGUUUUAUAAUACGUUCCGCUUGCGCAAUAAUAAAUGAAUUGGGUCAGUGACACUACUUGGGAAUGUCGCGUUUACAUGACCAUGGUAGGAUGUUGGCGCGCUCAAGGUUCAGGGCAUGACAUCCGCGUUUAAGUGGUAUCAAAGCAUGGUUUGAGUAUGGAGUGAUAAAGUGCGAUGAGUCAUGGGAUAGUUAGUAGGAAAGGCUUUUAAUAUGCUGAUGCAUGUGGUUGAUAGCUGUUUGGUAGUGUGUUUAUGGGGUCACUCAAAUUCUAACCUGAUGUUGGAAUCGGAAAACAGGCGUCUAUAAAGAGCCUGUAGGAUGAGUGACCAAGAGUGGAGAACUCCUUAGAGGAGGUCAGUAGGACCCUUAUCUCGGGGUAGGACGCUGACAAAAGUUAGUACCCGAGGUAGAGCGUAGGCUUAGACCAGCGCGAGUGUAAGAAUACCAUUGUAGGUCGAUACUAGUGUAGCAGCACCGAAUGAUCCUAGAUUUGCCAGGAUUCUUUAGGCGCUAGAGUCUUUGGGAAGCAUUUUGAGUUAGUAAGCUCAAGACCAAGUUACUGCUAAUGCCGUUGUUUAUACCGCUGCCAGUGUUGUGACCAUUAUUGUUGCCACGCCUGUUGAGGCCCAAUCUAGAGUUGUGAUCGAGGAUCAAGCCGUCGUAUCUGAGUCAAAGUUCGGUUUAGAUGGAGAUGGAAAUUGAUUGGGGAGAAAGGCCAAUGUCAGAAGAAAGGUGCCCUAUUUCACCCAACCAGAAGAGUAGAAUUAGAAAGUCAGUGCUCCACUCGAUCAAUGUGUGUCGUGUCUAUAAGAAAUAACAUGGAUUUGUCCCGUGCUAUAAGAGAGAAAUGACUGUUACAAGUGUCGGCAGUAAGGCCAUUGAUCAAAGAUGUCUGUAUAGACAGAUGGAACCACAGUUGUUUCUGCACCGCCGUCAAGAGAAAAGAACAGAGGAAACAUGCUUCAGAAUGUUUAAUGAGGUACUUGGAUCGAACCCCAGUGCAAGGAAUGGUGCAUGAUGUCACUUGAUGGGAGGUAGAGGAUUCACUGAUUUUGUGCCGAGUUUGUGGAAAUGAGGCAUGAGUCAGCCUAGUGUCAGAGUAAAAAAAAAAAAAAAGAGCAUGAUAAGAAUGUGGCCAGCACGGCCAUCGGGUUACGAACUGUCCGUGUAAGUUCAUGAGAGCGUAAGUACCAUUACUGCAGAUAGGACGCCACUAGGAUGGCUAGAAAAGCAUGAAUGGCUCGACCAAACAUCGACCAAGGGAAGAAUGUUUUGAGGUGUUUUAUCAGAGUAGUGCAACAAGAUUUUGAGUGAAGGUUGUGGAGUUUCCGUUGUUGUAAUAAAGUAAUAGGAAGAUGAGUCUCUGACUAUAGUUGUACCUGAUGGAUUUACUUAUGUAUGACUUGGAAGUCAUUUAUGAAAAGGUUUGGCUCAAGGAGCUUUCUGCUGUUAUAAAUCGUGGCGGUGAUAUAAUUCAAUUUGUUUAGUUAGCGUAUGAAAGUUUUGAAUUACUGAAAGUCAGAAAGGACCUUCGAUCCCUGUUAUUCGUCACUGAAGACGACCUUGGUUCUAGUUGUUGGUUGCCAAAUCUAUAUGGCAACUAUAAUGGAUGCGAUAGUUGAGGGACCAAGUAAGGAGAACUUAGCCAUGGUAUAGAAGCUUUCUAAGGUAAUCUCUAGAGAAUUGCCAAGUUUGUUGUCAGGAAGAGAAAUAGAGUUCGUAAUUGAAUUAACACCCGGAACAGAGCCAGCCCCUGAGACUCCUUACCGGAUGGUGUUAUCCGAGUUAAAAGAACUGAAGGUGCAGAUGCAGGAAUUGUGGAAUAGGAGAUUCAUACAUUCCAGUGCAUCACUUUGGGGAACACCCGUUCUACUAGUGAAGAAGAAAGUUGGUCGUUGUGUUUGUACAUUGGUAUUCUUCAAGAUUGACUUGAGGUGAGGGUAUCAUCAGUUGAGAAUCAGGAAGAAAGACAUACCGAAGUUAGCAUCUCGCACUCGAUACGGCAGUUAUGAGUUCACUAUAAUGAUGUGUGGUUUGACGGACACCUUAGCUAUUUGUUUGGGUCCUAUGAGCAGAAUGUUUAAGGGUACUUCAAUCAGUUGUAAUCAUGUUCAUUGAAGUUAUCUUGGUGUGUUCAAAGAGUGCAGAGGAGCACGAGAGACAUUUGGAGAUGGUACUUCAGACCUUGAGUACUCUUGGAUUUUAUAAUAAGCUUAGCAGAUGCGAGUUUUGAAUGACUCGUGUUGCGUUCCUAAGUCAUGUGAUUUCAAGAGAAGGAAUCUCCGUAGACCCCGUCCAAGAUUCAAGCAGUGAUCAGUUGGCCAAGCUUGACUGCAGUGACAGAGAUCAAAAGUUUUAUGGGUUUUGCAAAGUAUUACAAACAGUUCGUAUACGGGUUUUUCAAUGUUAGCAUCGCCGUUGACAAGACUACUGAGGAAAGAAGAGAAGUCCAAGUGGACAGGUAAGUGCGAGUGUAGUUUUCAAGAGCUUAAGCGAAAACUGACUACCGCACCUGUGCUUACUAUCCCAUCUAGUCCGGGAGGGUUUGAGAUCUAUAGUGAUGCGUCAUUUAAAGGAUUGGGUUGCUUGUUGAUGCAGCAUGAUAGGGUUAUAUUACAUACGCGUCCCGUCAGUUGAGAUCUUGUGAGUUGAAUUACCUUACGCACGUUGUAGAACUCGCAGUAAUUAUGUUCGUUUGGGGAAAUUAGAGGCACUAUCGAUAUAGAGAAAGAUUUCAUAUCUUCAUUGACCAUCAAAGUCUCAAGUGCGUAUUCUCUCAUAAGAAGUUGAAAAUGAGACAAUGUUGCUGGAUGGAACUCCUUAAGGAUUAUGACUAUGAUAUUUUGUAUCACUCUGGAAAGGUGAGCAAAGUCGCAGAUGCACUGAGUCGAGAGUCCUUAGUUGCACAGUUGGUACUCAAGGAUUGGAUCUUACUUGAGGAAGUCUGAAAUUCAGUUUUCAAAUCUAAGAUAUGCCACCUUUUGAAUCUUAUGACCACCUUCAGAAUUGAGCCGAAAGUUCAGAUUAGAAUCAAAACGCUUCAGUGGACAGAUUCAAAAAUUCAGAAGACUAUAAGAGAAUGCAAAUGAGAGAGGUUGAUUUUUAGAAUUCUAAAGAUAGAACGCUAAAGUUCUGAGGACGAUUGUGUAUGAUUGACGAUGCAGAGAAUAAAGAAGAGAUCUUAUGGGAAGCUCAUCAUAGCAACUUCAGCGUUGUCCAGACAGUACGAAGAUGAGUCAAAUCUACGUCAUUAGGAUUGGUAGAUCAGUAUGAAGAUAGAUAUCGCCGUACAAGUUGUAAGUGUUGGAGAUAUCAGUAAAUGAGAAUUUGGUAAUGUAAUCUAGGAAAGCUUUUUUCAAGCACGUGAGAGAGUCCUGUGUGGGAAUGGAAGUAUAGCAUGAUUGAAUGUUAUGAUAGUUAUUAAGGAGUCGGGAAGAGUAUUGAUUCCUUUUGGGGUUGUGGUCGACAGAUAAACAGAGUCAACUCACCUUAGUGCAGUACGAAAAUAUCUCGAUUGGAAUAGGUAUACCAAAGUGUGUGUAUAUCAUAUAAAUCAUCUACAUGGAGUGUCGGGGAUGAAUUGUAUUUCAAAUCUAGAUUAGAUGUUCCAAGUUUGUAGAGCUUUCAAAUGGCUCUUUCUUAAGCAGUGCAUAGCAGAGAGUGCGGAAUUUCGAUUGCUAAGAUGAAGUCAGGGAAAGAAAGAUCACAAGCCAGGGUCAGUACAAUAGUCAGUGAUUGUAGUUGCCGAGAUCAGUGUCAGAGUUAUAUCAAAGCUUGACCAGGGGUUUUCAGUUUCAGCAGAUCAGUCAGAUAGUCUCUUUUUAGUCAGUGCAGGGCAGAGUGUUCAGAACUUCAGUUGUUGAGUUGAGAUCAGAGAAUGAAAGGUCGUAGGUCCAGAGUUUGUUUAGAAAUCAUUGAUUUAGUUGCAAUUAUUAGAGACAGUUUAGAGACUGCUCAGAAUUGUCAAUUUAGCUUCGCAGAUUUUGUGUUGAAGACCUUUGGAAUUUUAAGUGGGCAAGUGUUUAGUAUUGUGCAUCCGAAGUGGUUUGGGCAAGAUAGUAGUGAUCUGGCAGCAUUGGUACAAAAAAAGCAACUUGAGAAAGAGAAGAUUAUAUGAGACGACUGUAUCCCCACCUUUUUGUUUAAGAAUCGGUAAAGGUUUAAAUUUCGAGGACAAAAUUUUUAUAACAGGAGAAGAGUUGUGACAUCUGGAUUUUCCAAUUCUAUUUUCAAUAAAUUGAGACGGGCAUUUCGUUGGCACGCGUAUAGUUAUUUUCCUUGAGUCGGUCACUCAUGUGAAAACUAGUCUAUCAGGUGAAGCCAUUAAGAAAUUAUAAUGCAUUAGACUCGAGAAUUUGACCAGGAAACGACCUUUUGACCGAGCUAAUCUGCAAGGGUCAUUACGGCAAUCGAUUAGAGACCGGAGAUAAGUCGACUCGACAGAGGCAUGUGAUCAAGUGUGGGUGAUUCCACCGGAUCGCACAAUUCUUGUCGAUCGGCACUGGACCGACUUUUCUAUCGAUUGGGUACCCUGUGUUCAUAUUUGAAACCUUGAGAUUACCCCGACAACUGAAAGUCACCAAUGUUUCAAAGAUGUACAUUGUGGCUUGAGAUGAUCAACCACAGGUCAAAUGCAUGAAAAUUUCUAAAGGCUACCCGGUAAGUUGGGCCGCGCUAGUUUCGUGCCAAGGUGAAAUUAACCGUGGAAUUGAAACCGAAUUCAAAAAUUGGAAGUCUAGGUGUGUCACAAAUCAUUUUAGGAAUGUUGACUCAUCUUUGGAAGAUUUUUCAUGCAAGCCGAGUUUUUUGGCAAAAUAAUCAAAGUAUAGUUAAUUUGGUUCGAAAAAUUGGUAAGCCCGCUUUUGGUGGUAUUUUUUAGAUCAAAAUGGUUCUAUGGUCAAGUAACUAUGUGAAUUGAAGGGUGAUGACAUUGGAUUAUUUUUACGGACUUUAACUUGGUUCAAUUAGAAGAGAAUUGAAUAAUGUGAUAUACAAAAUUUAAAAAUUGGUAUGCCUCGGCGGAAAAGGAAAUUAGACCCAUUGGAGAAUUGUUGUGGGAGAUUUAAAGUUAGUGGAAUGUGAGGUCAGCUUAUGUCAUGGUUGGGGCCAAAGCAAAUGGGGUGUUGACAAGUGUCGAAUGCUCAUUAGUCCCCAAAAAGCACCUCUCACUUCAAUCUUCAUCUUCAACCUUGGGACUUCUUGGACUUGGGGAGAGAAAAGCUGAGGGAGACCAGCUCGUUCGACCACCUUUCGUGCGACACCCAACCGCCCGCUCGGCCGCCUGCUUGCUCGUCGUCGGAGUCGCUCACCGCCACCGUUGCUCAGCCCACUCGCUCUCCGCCUUCCUCUCUUUCCCCCUGCUGGCGUCAACCUCCGCUUCUUUUUCUUUGUGUUGUUCGAGACCCACCAACAAACCAGGGAAGCAAAGCAGUAGCCAGCAGCGCCGCUCGUCGCCGUCGCACACCGCUGGACCGCUCACCGCCGAUGUGCGUCUGCCCCGCGCCGCUCGCCGACCAGCUCGCCUCUCCACUCCGCCUCAGCCCACGUCUCCAACUUUCGUCCGGCAUCUCCAGCAGCUUCCUGCCAUCGCCGUCGCCGCUGUGAGCCACCAUUGGUUGCCGCCUGAACUACUGCCGCCUCUUUCCGCCAUUCCCGUGCCCAACCAACGACCGACACCCCUUCGUCCGACCGUGAAUAGCAGCCAAAAAAAUGGGUAUGGCAGCUCAGUUUUGGCCCGUUUUGGCCAACUUCCCAAGCCCGGAUGCUCAGCCCGCCUUGAGGAAAGUCAAUCCUCGCAUCGUCCUCGUCGUUUUGGUCCGCUCGGCUCGCUAAUCUGGUGAGUUUAGCUCACUAAAUCUUGAUUAGACGGUUAAUGAUGCCCUAAGUGUGCUUAGUCUAAGUUAAAUAAGUUUAGGUGGUUAGAUUAGUUUAUUUGGUUGAGGAUUAGAUUAGGGUGUUUAAUUAAGCUAAAGUGUGUUUAGUUUAAAGUUGAGUAGGUUUAUUUUAAUAUAAGCCUUGAUGUGACAUAAAUGAAUUUACUUUUGAUUUAUUUAAAUACCUCGAAAUUAUUAAAUAAUUUAAUAAUAUAUUAUUAUUCGAAAUUAUUAAAAUUCUAUUAUUUAAUUAUUUUCGGAAUAAAUUUAAUUAUUUAUUAAAUUCCGAAAAAAUUUUAAGACCCUAAAUUCUCAGAAUUUCGUAUUGGUCGCUACUGUGUAGUCAGAUUUUGAAAUUGAUGGUUGGAUAUUAUAAAUUGAGUNNNNNNNNNNNNNNNNNNNNNNNNNNNNNNNNNNNNNNNNNNNNNNNNNNNNNNNNNNNNNNNNNNNNNNNNNNNNNNNNNNNNNNNNNNNNNNNNNNNNNNNNNNNNNNNNNNNNNNNNNNNNNNNNNNNNNNNNNNNNNNNNNNNNNNNNNNNNNNNNNNNNNNNNNNNNNNNNNNNNNNNNNNNNNNNNNNNNNNNNNNNNNNNNNNNNNNNNNNNNNNNNNNNNNNNNNACCGUAUUUGACCACCUAUUAAAGGUUGUGCUCAGUGGGGCCGUAUUGACCACCUAUUAGAGGUUGUGCCCAGUGGGGCCAUGAUUGACCACCUAUUAGAGGUUGUGCCCAGUGGGGCCGUGAUUGACCACCUAUUAAAGGUUGUGCCCAGUAGGGCCAGUGGGGCCGUGAUUGACCACCUAUUAAAGGUUGUGCCCAAUGGGGCCGUGAUUGACCACCUAUUAGAGGUCGUGCCCCUCGGGCCGAGAUCUACCACCUAAUUAAAAGUCGUGCCGAGUGGGGCCGUGAUUGCUACUGGUUGUUAAACCUUCCUAUAGGGUCGUGAUUGGGAGCAGCGAUUGAUUUGCUAGAAUGACAUGUAAUCGGCCGAGUCGAUUGAUCGCUGAGACGAUCCAAGUGGUUGAAUUGUUCUAAUAAUGUGAUUGUGCCAUAGUUGUUUGGUUAUCAUAAUUGCACGUGGUUGAAUUAUAUAAACUGUUCCAACCUACAGAUGAAGACUAAUGCGAGGUAAGUCUUUUGUGUGAUGUGGCUAAGCCACUCGGGGCAUAGUUUCUUUCUAAUAAGGGUUUAGGGGGUUGAAUUUGCUGAGACAAUGUCUCAUCCCAGUUGUGGGAUUAAAAUUUCAGGUCCCUGGUGGACGGAGCGACCAGAUGGCUUUGGUUGGCUUUGAGGAGUUGCGGAGGUGAAGUCAUAAGGAUUGGAGAACAUAUCCGACUUGUAGGUCGUAGGACAAUUCCUUUUUAAGACCCGGUCUUUUGUAGACUUUUGGCCGUAGACCUCUGUUUGUUAUUCUGUUGAAUUAUGAAAGUGUUAUGUUGUGAAUUUGCUUCCUGCUUUUCUAUCCCGUAUAUCAUUGUCAGGGGUUUUAUAAUACGUUCUGCUUGCGCAAUAAUAAAUGAAUGGGGUCAGCGACACUACCUAGGAAUGUCUCAUUUACAUGACCAUGGUGGGAUGUUGGCGCACUCGAGGUUCGGGGCGUGACAAGAUAGUUGUGUGGUAUGAUGGUGAACAACUUAAGUACAUAUGAAUCGAAAAAUAGUCAAUACUUAUGAUGGAUAAAGAAAAUCCGAAAAUGAGUAAUGAUAAAGCAUGAGGAGUUAAACUUCAAAUCUCUUGGCUCUUGUAGAAAACUAUAUAACCUUUUAGUGCUGCUUGCUCGAAAAAUCAUAUUUAGAAGAGACGACGAAAAGAAGAGUUGGCUGAAAACGAGAAACGAAUAAUCGAAUAAAAGUUUUUCUAGCUACAAGUUGACUCACACCGCAUUCAAGCGGGCGUUUGGCCAAAUGACCCUAAUAUAUUAAGCUGAAAAAUAGAGCCGUGAUUAGUUGUUCAAGCUCUUUUGGCCUAAAAAUAGGCCUUGUAAAAGCUUUGCAUCAAACUUAAUUUAAACUGUUCCUUGACUUUUCAAAGUAGUUAGAUAGACUAGUAAAGCCAACAUGUGGUCCCAAAGUUUGACAGUGAUCAUAUGCGAGUUCAAAUCCAAGUCAGUUAACAAUCACAUGAUGAGUUGUACCUCCUUAGUUAAGACAAAGCCACACAUUUCGACUUUCCAAAGUCACUAACGCAGUAGGCAGAAUCUUGUUCUUUAUUAGGAUAUAAGGUUCGGGAAAAAGAUGGAGAGUAGAGACUGAUGUGAUCUGGUUGGUGUUCUUGUCCUAAAGGAGUACUUGUUUUUACCACAUUGUUCUUCUUUUCAUCUUAUGUAUACCUUGCGCACGAUCACCAAGUCUUUCUCAAUUCUCUUUUUCGAACACAGAAUCAGAAUCUUCAGAGAGAGAAAGAGGGGUCCCCUAGUUUCAUCCACCAACUCAGUAGAUGCCUCCAAGAUAAAGACAAGCAGAAAAAUUCUCAUGGUUGAAAAGAACUUGUUUCAACAAUGAGUUAAAAGAAAAAAAAAUGAGGGAUAAAGUACAUUUUGGUAUCCAUGAAUUGAUUAGUAAAUAGUUCCAAAUUAUGAACCCUAGCUAGUGUUGACAAGAUAAUGGGGGAGAUGGAUUUAAUUGCUAAAGGAUGGAAGAAAUACUCGGUUUAAAAAUAAAAUUGCCCGUAAAAUGGAGGAUAGUCAUACAAAUAUCAAAAGCCAUGAAAAUAUGAAAAUAAAGGAUAUAGUAGAUAUAACGUGAAGCCGUACAAAGGACGCGUUGCCUCUGUUACGUAUGGAAAGAAUCUUAUUCAUUUGUAUGCAGCCUCUGUUCUCCAGUGCAAAUGCAACAGUCCUUAUCCACGUUGCAAUGAUCAAGAGUUCCCUAAGAAUCCUUGUGAAAAUAGCCAAAGAUCUAAAGAAAAAUUCUCUCUCUCUCUCUCUCUCUCUCUCUCUCUCUCUCUCUCGUAUGCAAGUCCAAAACCCUACGAUGAAACAUCUAUAUAAGCACGUCCCUCAUGAAGCCUUAAGCAAUCCACACAACACAAGAAAUCCUAAUAUCACAUUCCAACCUUCAAGAGCUCACUUUGCUCUCUCUUUUAGCUAAUUACCACUUUCUGGAAUUCACUUUAGUCGACGUUCAAGGAGUUCCUGACAUCUCGAAGCUUUUUUCUCAAUGGAGGAUCUGGUGGCGAAGAUGAUCUACGAGAAGCCUGUGGUGAUCUUAAUCAAGUCGCUUCUUUACGAAAUGGGGGGAACCCAACGGUCCAUAACCUAGACGAGAUUCCGACAGGCAAGGAGAUCGAGCAGGCCCUCGUGAGACGCGGGUGCAGCCCAGCGGUCCCCGCCGUGUUCAUCCGCGGCCAGCUUUUCGGUAGGGACAGUUGUGGCUGAUGCCGGUUAGGGUUUUGGGAAGUGGGUCUUAAGGUUUCUAGCUGGGUGGAUUGGCAUGAAAAAGGAUAACAAGAUGUGAGAUGUUGUGUAUGGUGUAUAUAGAAGUGGGAGUGUUAAAAGAUGUACAUAUGAAAAUAGAUUUUAAGAGUUGUUGUGGCGAAAACUCAUGAUAGACCUCGGUGCAUGGGCCUCGCUAGUCAGUCCUCGCGUUCGGGUCCUCAAGGCCGAGCUUGAGACCCCCCGUGUCCCUCCCCAAAUCUCCAGUGGUUAGGCCUAGGACACUGACUCCUGCGUUGAGACCCUAGCGGCCGAGUUCGGAUCCGGUUGCUUGGGAUUGGGACCCCGAUGGUCACGUUCAGGUCCCUAAAGGCUGAGUCUAGGAUUUUGACGUCUGUGCUUGGAUCCCUAGCAAUCGGGUCCAAGUCUCCAAGAACCCAAACUUAGGACUUGAG
This 54723-nucleotide long non-coding RNA is filed under the name Eucalyptus grandis. RNAcentral's name for it is "long non-coding RNA (EGRA_LNC000641)". Lineage: Eukaryota; Viridiplantae; Streptophyta; Magnoliopsida; Myrtales; Myrtaceae. The record is from RNAcentral.